UUCAAGAACUCUCCAAAUACACGAAAAUCUCAGAAAAAACUAAACAUACUUGCAUCUGACACUCACACAGGAGUUUUGUGUAACAUAAUGCAUCACAUGUCUUAUUAUUUCAUUGUCUUGCUAGUUUUGUGAUGUUAAAUUUCAUUUGCUUUUGAUAGGUGGGCAAUAGUAUAUCUAGCACAAAUGAAACCACUCAUUGUCCCCAUUUUAAGUGAAGGAGAGUGAAGUGUGUAUGUGUGUGUGUAUAUAUAUUGCACAAAAAUCAUUUGGAAGAUUAUCAGUAAAUCAGCAAUUAUGGAUUUUGGCCAUUGAGGGAAUACCUGAAUUUCAUUGUUUAAUGGAAUGGGUAAUUCAGUGUGCUCUCAUAAGUUGAUGUUGUAUGUGCUUUGAUUUGGAAUGGUGUUGGUUCUUUGAUGGUAUUAGUCUCAUUUGUUAUAUUGUUAUCAUUUUAUUAAAUUUUUAUAAAUUUUAAUGUUGUUCUAUCAACUAUGUGUAAUUUUGAUAAAAUAAUAAUUGCUUCAAAUAAAAUAUAUGGCAUCUCUUGUUAAUUGUUGCUUUUUCACCCCCAAAUAAUGCAUACUCACAGACAGAGAGACACACGCAUGUAUAUAUAAGAACAAAAUCUGUGAUUGGUAAUUAGCAUCUAAAAGAAGAAUUGUGAAUAUGAACCGGGUAAAUUACAAAAUAGUCAUUUAAUUAUGCUUUUUGUUCUAUUUUGGUUGUCCAACUAUUAUUAUUUUUAAUUUAGUCACUAAAAUUUUUGAAAUUAAAUAUUUUAGUUAUGGGGUUUUUUUAUUGGUUUAAUAAUAAAAUUAGUUUUUAUUAAUUUGAUGUUAAAUAUAAAAAAUUCAAAGAAUUUAACUUUCAAUAUUUACAAAAUUUGUCAUUUUAGUUUAAAUUUUAUAAAAAAUCAAUAAAUUUAGCCCUUAAUAUUUACAAAAUUUGUCAAUUUAGUUCUAAUUUUAAAAAUUAAAGAAAAAUAUAUUUUUUUUGCCUUUUUAACUCACCUUUUGACAUUUUAGCAUCGGAAGCAAUUUUUUUUCUUUUUUCCUAACUGGAACAUAAACAGGCCCUAGCUAGUCGGAGAAUGAAUUUGGGGCGGUACAACACCUCCGACGAUAAAUCUAUAGUUGCAGUAUCGCCUUUACCUCAAAGAUGUCAGUUAACAUAUAGUACUUCAAAAUUGUUUAAAAAAAAAAAUUCAAAGAAUAACGAAUCAGAUCGUAAAUGAAAUUUCUCUACACAAGAAAAAUUAGCAGAAAUGACUUGAACCUAAUGAUAAACUUUUAAAGGAAAAAAAAAUCAAGAGUGAGAUAAAAAAAAAAUGGGGAAAUUACCUUAACUUAGAGAAGAAAAUAUAUGAAUUCCUCGGUGGCAUACUGCCAGCUUUGAUCUUGACUUUAGCUCACCCAGAAUGUCGAAGUGUGUGAUAAAGGGUUAAAAAUAUAUUUUUAAAAUUUUUAGUAUUAGAAUUAAAUGGAUAAUGUUUACAAAUGUUGAAAGUUAAAUUUAUUAAUUUUUUAGAAUUUGAAUUAAAAUAAUAAAUUUGUAAUUUUUUUAUAUUUAGGAUCAAAUUAAUAUAAUGUGUAAAUAUUGGAGGGUUAAAUUUGUUUAGACCAAUAAAAAAGCCCAUGUCAACUUUACAUCACUCAUCUAAUGAUAAUUAAUGGGUAAGUGACUAAAAUAUUUAAUUUCAAAAAGUUUAGUGACUAAAACAAAUAAAUUAAUAGUUGAGCAACCAGAAAAGAAGCAAAGGUAUAGUUUGGAGAUUAUUUUUGUAGUUUACCCAAAAAAGUUAAUGACUAAAUUGUAAGUUUUUUCAGUUAAGUUACCAAAACAAAAACUUACUUAUAGUUUAGUGACUAAGGCUGAAUUUACCCUUUAUGAAAUGGUAUAAUGGGCUUAAGUUAGAGCCCAAUUUAGGCCCCAAAAAGAAGCAGCAUUGUCGUUAAUCCCCUCAUCAAUUAGCCCUAAAAAUCCCAAUUCAUCUCUCACCUUUUCCCCCAAAUUUGAAGUUAGAAUCACGAUUCAAUUUGAAGUAAAAAAAGGAAGAAUGAGUAACGUUCCAAAAGAAGCCAUUGAAGUGAUAGCACAGAGCAUUGGAAUUACCAAUUUGUCCCCAGAUGUUGCCCUUUCUUUGGCUCCUGAUGUUGAAUAUCGCGUUCAAGAAAUCAUGCAGGUGAUUUUCAAUUUUGCCUUUUGUCUUUGUAUAAAUUCAAAUGUUUGGAUCAUUUUUCUAAUUCAAGUCAUAGUGUAGGAGGCAAUUAAAUGCAUGCGCCACUCACGGCGGACGGUUUUGACAGCUGAUGACGUUGACAGUGCUCUUAAUCUGAGAAACGUGGAGGUACAUUUUCAAGUUUCGAAAAUUUUCUGUUUACUGUAUUUUUAUUAUUAUUAUUUUCCUUUUUAGUUGAAAAUAGUGCUAAUUAAUGUUAUUUGUUAGUAUAAAUUUGUUAGAAUCUUAUGAAUUUUUAAUGAUGUACUACCUUGAUUUGUUAGACUAAUGUGAUAAUUUCUACUUCAUGUGUAUUAAUCCAUAAAUUUUAUCAAAAGUGGAAUUUUGAAAACUUUGAAUAUUAAGUUUAACCUUCUGCUUUAGAUUUUGCAUUUUGGUUAAUUGGCUUGUGUUAUGUGUUUCUCUGGCAUCAGCCGAUAUGUGGAUUUGCCUCUCGUGAUGCACUACGAUUCAAGAAAGCCGCUGGGCAUAAGGAUUUGUUCUACAUUGAUGACAAAGAUGUGGAGUUUAAAGAAGUAAGAACUUAUCAACAAUAUUCGAGGUUCUGUUGUAUGUUGCCUUAUUAAAGUAGCCUUCACUUAAAUUCUUCUAUGUUGCCUUAUGUAUGUAGGUUCUUGAGUCACCUUUACCAAAAGCACCACUUGAUACAUCUGUUACAUCCCACUGGCUUGCGAUUGAAGGCAUUCAACCAGCAAUUCCAGAAAAUGCUUCAAUUGAAGGUACCGUCUUAGCUAACCUAAAUAGUCUCUCGAAGCUAUUUGUGUUGAAGACUCUCAUGGUUCAUGUUCUUUUCUGGUUUUAUCACUUUAAUCUAAUACGACUUAUCUUCAUUUCUACACGGAAUUGGUAUUUUGCUUUCCAUGCAGCACCUUCUGAUGGUAAAAAGGCUGAAUACAAAGAAGAUGGGCUUUCCGUUGAUGUCAAAUUACCUGUUAAGCAUGUAUUAUCUAGAGAGCUUCAAGUAUGUUGUACAUCUUCAGCAACAUUUUUAUGUUAAAAUACAUUUUGCACAGAAUGAUAUUAGAAGACUAAUUUUUGGUUGUCAUGCAGCUUUACUUUGACAAGAUCGUGGACAUUACCAUGAAUAAAUCAGUCUCAAUUCUCUUUAAACAAGCAUUACUGAGUUUGGCAACAGACUCGGGAUUACAUCCUUUAGUUCCUUAUUUUACAUAUUUCAUUGCGGAUGAGGUUGUCUUAAAGAUCUUUCAUACCUGAUUAUAUAUGUGUUGCAAAGAACUUUUGGUUGGUUAUCUCAAGCUUACAUUUUUGCGACAUUUAUCUCAGGUUGCACGGAAUUUGAAUAAUUUCCCUCUCAUGUUUGCUUUGAUGCGUGUUGCCCGAAGUCUUCUCCAGAAUGAACACUUACACAUAGAACCUUAUGUGAGUUUAUUAUUUCAAUCAUUUAGAAGUACACGAACUAAUGCAAAUAUGCUAGUGGUUUAUUUUCCACCUAUCUGAUUUUUUAAAAUGUUCUUCAGUUACACCAGUUGAUGCCAUCUAUUAUUACCUGCCUCGUUGCAAAAAGGUUAGGAAAUAAAUUCACCGACAAUCAUUGGGAACUUAGAAACUUCGCAGCAAAGCUAGUGGCAUCAAUAUGCAAAAGGUGAAGAUUUCUUUUCUUUUGGACUUAUACAUGUAUAUUCGUUUUUAUAAAUUUCAGGUGUCUGAGUUUUUAGUUAUAAACUUGGAUCUAUUCUUCAAAUCAUGUGUAUAUCAUUUUUAUGCUAUUUCAUACAUGCAAAACAAAUGGUGCGAGUGUGCAUGUUAUAUGCAGAAUACAUAGAUUAAUUACGUGUGGAUCAUUAAGCCUGCCUAUGUUUGACCAUUGUGUGUGGCUACCUUUUUUUACAUGAUCCAAUUUUCGAUAUGCUUUGCUUUUAGUUGAAUGCGGAAAAGGUUAGAACUUAAUUUCCGGCAUAAUGAUUUGUCUUGGAUAUGUAGAUUUUACAUGCAUUUCUUACAAGUCAAUAUUUUAUAGAUUUGGGCAUGUUUAUCACAAUCUUCAGCCACGUGUGACAAGGACACUGCUUCACGCUUUUUUGGACCCAACGAAAACAUUUCCCCAGCAUUACGGAGCAAUUCAAGGGUUAGCAGCCCUUGGACCCAGUGUGGUAUAAUUCUAAUCUCAAAUAUUUACUAGCAACACAAUAAGAUACUUGUUUGUGGGAUCAAUUGGUCAAAGAUAUUGCAAUGAUAGCUAUCUUUUUAAGCCCAUUUCUUUCCGAAAACUGUUUUGUCACUCUUUUCUGCAAGAUCCGAAGAAAGAAAGAAAUUGGAAAUGUAUGGUCCAAAAGUUUAAAUAUGCAGUUUCUCUAUAGGUAUCUCUAUUAUGGCAUCUGUAAAGUUUGUCUUUCAUAUGUUUGGCUAACGCUUCUUCUUCCAUAUGUAGGUUCGUUUACUUAUACUACCAAAUCUUGAAUCGUAUUUGCAGCUUCUUGAACCUGAAAUAAAAAGACACGAGGCCUGGUGUGUGUAUGGGGCCCUGCUGGUAAGUUUCACAUCAAAUUUGGUACCAGUUUACGAGCAUCGUUUCAUUUAUUUGCUGUAGAACUAACAACACUGCAUAAAAUUUCCACUAACAGCGUGCAGCUGGACUGUGCAUGUAUGAUCGGCUUAAAAUGUUCCCCAGUUUGCUAGCACCCCCAACUCGUCCCGUCUGGAAAAGCAACAACAAAGUUGCGACAAGUAUGAUUUCUUCGAACCAUCAUAUUUACACUUAAUCCACAAGUCUCUUCGCCCCCUUUACGAUAUUCCUUUUUCUUAUCAAUCAAGAUAAACGAAAAGCAAUCACGGACACAUUGAUGCAGCAGCAACCACCUGCCAAGAAAAUAGCAACUGAGAGUGCAAUAGGUAUGAUGCCAAUAAAUUCCAUGCAAACUGAUUUACAAGGGGAAGUUAGCGGCUUUUCUACCACCGUAGGAGGUUCCAGUAUCGGUGUAUCAUCAAUGUCACGGCCGUUAUCAAACGAUAACAUGCUAGGAAGGGAGGUUGGGGGUCGAGUUUCAAAGAAAUCAACCGUUCUAGCUCAGGCUUGGAAGGAAGACACAGACCCAGGGAACUUGUUAGCAUCAUUAUUUGAACUUUUUGGUGAAAGUAUGUUAUCAUUUACUCCCAAACCUGAGCUUUCAUUCUUCCUUUGAUUGAAUUUCACCUCCAAAAGCUAUAGUUUUUGAAGGAAUUUGUGUAAAUUAUCCCCAUAGUUUUUUUCAGUCUUACUGUGUUUAUCUUUAUAAGUCUUCUUUNNNNNNNNNNNNNNNNNNNNNNNNNNNNNNNNNNNNNNNNNNNNNNNNNNNNNNNNNNNNNNNNNNNNNNNNNNNNNNNNNNNNNNNNNNNNNNNNNNNNNNNNNNNNNNNNNNNNNNNNNNNNNNNNNNNNNNNNNNNNNNNNNNNNNNNNNNNNNNNNNNNNNNNNNNNNNNNNNNNNNNNNNNNNNNNNNNNNNNNNNNNNNNNNNNNNNNNNNNNNNNNNNNNNNNNNNNNNNNNNNNNNNNNNNNNNNNNNNNNNNNNNNNNNNNNNNNNNNNNNNNNNNNNNNNNNNNNNNNNNNNNNNNNNNNNNNNNNNNNNNNNNNNNNNNNNNNNNNNNNNNNNNNNNNNNNNNNNNNNNNNNNNNNNNNNNNNNNNNNNNNNNNNNNNNNNNNNNNNNNNNNNNNNNNNNNNNNNNNNNNNNNNNNNNNNNNNNNNNNNNNNNNNNNNNNNNNNNNNNNNNNNNNNNNNNNNNNNNNNNNNNNNNNNNNNNNNNNNNNNGAAAUUUUGCUAAUUCAAUUUCCCAAGUCUUUACUCAAAGUUGGUUCUAAAUUAAAUUUAGAAAAAGAAAAGAAAACAUGUCUUACUUUUAUAUUAUACUGGUCAUUCAUAUUAUCAAGUAAUAAUAUAAAUUUUUAUAUGAUUAAUUUCUGUAUAUUAUAUUAAUCAGUUUUGUUACCUUGGAAUUCUGAUAAGUUUAUUUUGGUUAAAUUGGAGUGAAUAUUACUAUUUCCAUUUUUGGAAUUAAAGCAACCUAUAUGUACCCUUUUACAGUCUGCAUUGUUCCAUGUUUCAAUUCAUUAUAUCAUUCCUUCAACUCUGCUAUACAUUAUUUCUCCAUAUAACCAAACCUUUUACUGCUAACUUGUAAAUAAAUUAUGAAAAUACAACACAGAUCAUUGAGCCAUUUUGUUCUCCUUUCUCCUUUACUGAGUAGUAGCAAAGAUUAUCGAGACUAAAUUGAAAGUCAUGAAAGAAGACAUUACAGAUAGUACGAAAUGCAAUGAAAGACAGAGGAAUUGGUACAAUAAUAAAGACAGACACAUACCAAUGCAACCCUUCACCAUAGGCAAAACGGUCUACAGACCAAGAAAUUAUGAAAAUACAACACUAAUUCUUCAACAUCAUUUGCACCAUAUGUUUUGCAUGUGUGAAAUAACAUAAAAGUGAUAUACACAUGAUUUGAAGAAUAGAUCCAAGUUUAUAACUCAAAAAUCAGACACCUGAAAUUCAUAAAAACGAAAAUGCAUGUAUAAGUCCAAAAGAAAAGAAAUCUUCACCUUUUGCAUAAUGAUGCCACUAGCUUUGCUGCGAAGUUUCUAAGUUCCCAAUGAUUGUCGGUGAAUUUAUUUCCUAACCUUUUUGCAACGAGGCAGGUAAUAAUAGAAGGCAUCAACUGGUGUAACUGAAGAACAUUUUAAAAAAUCAGAUAGGUGGAAAAUAAACCACUAGCAUAUUUGCAUUAGUUCGUGUACUUCUAAAUGAUUGAAAUAAUAAACUCACGUAAGGUUCUAUGUGUAAGUGUUCAUUCUGGAGAAGACUCCGGGCAACACGCAUCAAAGCAAGCAUGAGAGGGAAAUUAUUCAAAUUCCGUGCAACCUGAGUUAAAUGUGGCAAAAAUGUAAGCUUGAAAUAACCAACCAAAAGUUCUUUGCAACACACAUAUAUAAUGAGGUAUGAAAGAUCUUUAAGACAACCUCAUCCGCAAUGAAAUAUGUAAAAUAAGGAACUAAAGGAUGUAAUCCCGAGUCUGUUGCCAAACUCAGUAAUGCUUGUUUAAAGAGAACUGAGACUGAUUUAUUCAUGGUAAUGUCCACGAUCUUGUCAAAGUAAAGCUGCAUGACAACCAAAUUAGUCUUUUAAUAUCAUUCUGUGCAAAAUGUAUUUUAACAUAAAAAUGUUGCUGAAGAUGUACAACAUACUUGAAGCUCUCUAGAUGAUACAUGCUUAACAGGUAAUUUGACAUCAACGGAAAGCCCAUCUUCUUUGUAUUCAGCCUUUUUACCAUCAGAACCAAUUCCAUGUAGAAUUGAAGAUAAUCGUAUUAGAUUAAAGUGAUAAAACCAGAAAAGAACAUGAACCAUGAGAGUCUUCAACACAAAUAGCUUCGAGAGAAUAUUUAGGUUAGCUAAGACGGUACCUUCAAUUGAAGCAUUUUCUGGAAUUGCUGGUUGAAUGCCUUCAAUCACAAGCCAGUGGGAUGUAACAGAUGUAUCAUGUGGUGCUUUUGGCAAAGGUGACUCAAGAACCUACAUACGUAAGGCAACAUAGAAGAAUUUAAGUGAAGACUUCUUUAAUAAGGCAACAUACAACAGAACCUCGAAUAUUGUUGAUAAGUUCUUACUUCUUUAAACUCCACAUCUUUGUCAUCAAUGUAGAACAAAUCCUUAUGCCCAGCGGCUUUCUUGAAUCGUAGUGCAUCACGAGAGGCAAAUCCACAUAUCGGCUGAUGCCAGAGAAACACAUAACACAAGCCAAUUAACCAAAAUGCAAAAUCUAAAGCAGGAGGUUAAACUUAAUAUUCAAACUUCCAAAACUAAGUUUUCAAAAUUCCACUUUUGAUAAAAUUUAUGGAUUAAUACACAUGAAGUAGAAAUUAUCACAUUAGCCUAACAAAUCAAGAUAUAGUACAUCAUGAAAGAUUCAUAAGAUUCUAACAAAAUUAUACUAACAAAUAACAUUAAUUAGCACUAUUUUCAACUAAAAAGGAAAAAGAAUAAUAAAAAAAUAAAAAAUUAUGAGAGAAAUACUGAGCACUGUUAGAGGAUAGGCAAAGAUUUUAGCUCCACAAUGACAAAAAUGGACUAAAAAGAACAAGUUUAUUAAUAAUAAAUAAAAAUAACAAAUCUUCAUCGAAAAUAUACAAAAAUAUCUUUUCAUAGUUGAGUAACUAAGAAAUUUAUUAAUAGUUAGGUGGCUACCAAUAUAGUUUACCCUUAAAAUUUUCGGACCAUUUCUGGCCCGAAAAAAUUUUGGGUUGUUUAGAGUUUUAAUUUUGUAUUGUGUUUUCUUUUCUUUGUUGUAUCAGAGAGUGCAGAAAAACAUGGUAAUUAUGAACAAGCACAUCAAUGGCGGAUUGUCGUGUAUGUGCAUGCCUUUAGCUGUCAUUGGAAUUGUGGUUCUGCUUGUCCUUAUAUACCUACUCAUCAAAUACUUGUAAGAGAUAAUAUCACAUUUCGUAAUGGUACUUUCAUAGAAUGUUUAAUGUGUAUCUAAAUUAUUAAUAUGUGUUCUAUUAUAGUACAUGUAUUUUUUAUAAAAUGUCUAAUGUAGUAUUCGUACUUUGAAAAUGUCUAAUGUGGUACAUGAACUAUCAAUAUAUGUUUUAUUAUGGUACUUAAUGUUAACACCAUUAAUGAAUUGUUAGACCAACAAAUGAAAAUUUGACACGCAAUUUUUCUUUUUCUAAUUCAUCAAGUCCACAUGUAUAAAAUAACAUUAUGUGAAAACUAAAUAAAACAAUUAAAUUAAAUUUACAUAACCAAAAAUAUUAUAUUCUCCAUUUAAGCAAAUGAUCAUCUUCUCCAAAGAGUUUUCCCUUUAAAAUAAUAUUUUCAAUUGAUUUUUAAAUAAUAUUUUUUAUUAUCUUUGAAAGUACGGGUUUUUUUUAUUAACCAUAUGUUUAGUUAUUUGUUUUUUUAAUUUCAUUUAAUUAUUGUUUUAUUUAGUUUUUCACUAUUAUAUUAUCCACGUGGACUUGAUAAUUAAAAAAAAAGGGUUCUAUGUGUCAAAUUUUCAUUAGUUGAUUUAGCAAUUUUCUAAUAGUGUUAAUACCAAGUACCAAUGGCGGAUACUGGGAGUUGGAACUAGGUUUUUUUUUUUUGGGGGGGGGGAGGGGGCAAGUAAAAUUUUCUAAAAAUUUAAUGGUUUAAUAAGAUUUUUAAAAAAAAAAUUUGGGGGUCUAAUAAAAAAUUUUAAAUUUUUUGUGAGAUUAAUGAGAAUUUUCAAAAUUUUAAAAGUGCUUAAUUAAAAUUUUCAAAAAAAAAUUAAAAGGUAUAAUGAAAAUUUUCAAAAAUUUUGGGGGCUUAAUUGAAAUUUUCUAAAAAUUUCAAAGGAAAAAAUAAAAUUCUCCGAACUCUUUUUUUUUUUUUGCAGGGGAGACGGGACAAAGAGCCCCCUAAGCCACCAUAAUAGUCCGUCUUUACCAAGUAUCAUAAUAAAACAUCUAUUGAUAGUUUAGGUACCACAUUAAACAUUUUCAAAGUACAUGUACCAUAAUAAUAACACAUAUUGAUAGUUCAGGUACCACAUUAUAUAUUUUCAAAGUACUUGUACCACUAAACAUUUUAUGAAAGUACAGAUGCCAAAGGUGACAUUAUCCCUGCUUAUAAUAAUAAUAUCAAAGUUAAAAGAUGCUUUUAGUCCCUAUAUUUAAAAGGUUAGAAAUUAAGUCUUUCGAACUUUUUUAUUUAAAAAUCUCGCAAUAAUCAUUAAACUCAUAAGUAUUUUCUGUCAAAAUUUAGUAAUUUAACAUGUUGAUAAGCUAACGGAAACUACAACCAUCAUAAAUAAUUAAACUAAAAUUUUUAAAUUAAGAGAAAUUAACUUUUAAAGUACAGGGACUAAAACUCAAAUUCUAUAAACCAUUGUUGUUUUAUGCAUGUCGUGAAUGUACGGAAUUUGUUUUCAAUUCUGAAAAAAGCUUGUUACUUUCUAUUUGGUUUUCUCUGAUUUUCUCUUUACAUCAUUUCAUUUCAUGCUUUUUAAUUAGGUGGUUAUGAUUGAUUUUAGGUGGUGUGAAUUUGGCUCGGGUCAAUUUUAAUUUAAAAAUUUUCGGGUUAUUUCGAGUUUAUAUUAUAUAAAAUUUGGGUUAUUUUAGGAUUAAAUUAUUUUGGAUUUGAGUCGGUGUAAGGUUUUUUUUUUCUUUCAUAGUUUAGUUCACUUGAUUUGUGUUUUUGGAUUGCAUCAUUUCGAGUUUUGUCGUUCGGGUUUGACAAUUAAUUCAAAUCAUUUCAAGAUCAUGUGAUUUUGGAUUCAAAUUAUCAGUUUUUUAUAAUCAAAUCGAGUUGAGUUAAGUUUAAAUUCAAAUUAAUUAGGUUGUAUUUUUAUGAUUCUGAUAUACCGAACAUUUUUAUCGAUUCAAUUUUACUACUUACUAAAACUUAUGUUUCUCAAAAUACUUUUUUCAAAUUAAAAUUUAUUAAUUAUUUAAAUUAAGAUGUUAUUUUUUUAUUCUUUAUAUAUGUUUUAUAGUCCGUGUUCAAGAUCCGUGGAUACCCCACACAACAUUGUUAUCUCCAACGCUUGAAUAUGCAUUCUCCUUGAAUUGCUUUGAUUUUUUUAAAAAUGGACCAAUUUACUUAAUAUCAAAAUUGAGAGGGACUAAAGAGGGUUUUCACCAUCUAAAAUGUUAUCUAAUACAAAAAACUUAACAACUAUUUUUUCAAUUAUGAAAGGGUAAACUACAUAAUUAGCCACUAAACUAUGGGUGAAUCUUCGUUUUGGUCACUUAACUAAAAAAAUUACAAUUUGGUCACCCUAUUGUUAAAUGACACUUUUUAGUUAAUAUAAUAACAAUUUUAGUAUUCUAUGUUUAUAAUUCUUUUUGCCAAUUUACCUCGAUUCUAUAUAAAAAUUAUAAAAAAACUCAAAAUUAUUUUUAAAAAAUAUAAACUUCUAUAUAAAAAUUCUAGAAAAAUAAAAUCUCGAAUAUGUUGUUGUUGAAGAAGUAAUAUGAAUGGGAAAUAAAAAAAAUUAUCAUUCAAUAGAAUCUCAUAACAAAUUAAAAAUAGAACAAAACAAAAAAAAAAAGGUUAGAUCAUUAUAUGCUUCCUCAAUGUUUUUUGCAACCAAAUUAGUAAAAUUUUCAAGUUGAGUUCCAUGCCCUUGAAGAACAUCCGUAACUAAUAUUACAAAAGCUUACAAAAUCAACUUUGAUGCCAUUUUUCAAGCAAAAAUAUAAAACAUGCCACAAAAUUUUCUUUUUCAAACUCAAUUCGAAUUUUCAAUUCAUUUAAAUUUAUUAUUAAAAACCCAAAUUAUAAAAGCAGAUUAUAUACAGAUAAUUUUACUUAAUCUUUUUUUACUUUUUUUCUAUAUUUUCUAAAAGAAUGGAUAUUAGAUAUUUUUUUACAGAUAAUGCAAAGAAAAUUUGGAGGGUUUAAAAAUAAUAUUUUCCUCAUUUUCUCUCACUUUAUUUAUAUUUGAAAUUUUUAUCUACUUUCAUUUAAUUUUUAAUUUUUAGAAUUUUGUAAAAUUUAAAAAGAAUUUUACUUUUGUAAUCAUUUUAUAUAAUCAGAGUUAAAUUGACAGAAAGUAUAAAAAAUUGAGGAGUAAAAUUAUUAUUAUUAUACCAACUAAAAAGUGUCACUUAAUAGUCAGGUGACCAAAAAAGUUGUAAACUACAAAAAUAGUCACCCAACUAUUAAAUUUUCCAAUUUAGUUGCUAAAAUUUUUGAAAUUAAAUAUUUUAAUCACUCUCCCUUUAGUUUUCAUUAGAUGAGUGACGGAAAGCUGAUGUGGGUUUUUUUUUAUUGAUCUAAUAACAAAUUUAACCUCUAAUAUUUACACAUUCAAUCAAUUUGAUCCUAAAUAUAAAAAUUAAACAAAUUUAGCGCUUUUUACAAAAUUUGUCAUUUUAGUUCGAAUUCUGAAAAAAAAAUUCAAUAAAGCCUUUAGCAUUUACAAAAUUUGUCUAAUUCAAAUUCUAAAUUUUUAAUAAAAAUAAAAAUAUUUUUAAAAAAAUCAUUUUUUAACCCUUUUUACUCACCCUUUGAUUGUGGCACCCACUUAGAAUCUUCGAAGCUAAUAAGCUGAAACCUAAAUUGAAGUAAAAAAGUAAACUAAAAUUGGUGAAAUCACCUCAACUCAAAGAAGAAAAUAAUCGCUGACAUGGUAGCGCCACGCCAUCGCCCAUUGAUGACAUAUUAACCUUUGAGUUAAACUCAAAUUACUCUUUCUUUUGUUAUAAAUUAAGAGUAUAACGAAUUUUGAUAAGAAUGGUUACUUUUUAUUAACUCAGUUUAAAGGACUAUAACACGUAAAGUUUGGUCUAUUGCAGAAUUCACAUGCAAUGCGGGACAUUUACAUUAUGCAGAAUUCAACACAUAUAUGGGAAUUUUUGUAUUUCCACAAUUAUCAUGUUGUCAAUGAAGCUACGUACCUAAAAGCCAUUUAGGAUAUUAAUUCCUGUAAUUGGAUUAAUCUCAUCGUUGCUGCAAUCUUUUGACAGUGUAAUCGAAUCUUAAAUGUGUUACUCUGCAAUGCUGUUGUAAAUAUGACUCUUAAAUUUGUCGAUAGAUAUUUAGGUUUGGCACAAAAUUAAGAAUACACAAAGGCAGGUUGAAUUAUUCCAUGUUUGAACAUCUGCAACAUAAAUGCAUAAGGCAAAAGGGCUCAAACCAUACCUUAUGUUCAUGAAUUCUCAUCAUCACGUGUUUAUAAAUGCAACUCAAACUUGAAUAAUUGAAUCUUUUGUAAUUCUACAUGUAUUUUUUUUUAUGGUGCUCUAUUCACUCCCUUUAACUUAGCAACUAAGGUCUACCAAACAAGGCCACAUAUGACUUAGAAACAAAGACCAGAGGCAGUGGAAACAACAACAAGGCCAUAGCCAACCAACAAAUCACGACAAAGACCCAGAUUGGAUGUGGAAAAAUUUGUAUUUUCCACCAGACUGGAAAUUUUCUUUACACAAAGUUGGUUCUAAAUUAAAUUUAGAAAAAUAAAAGAGGUUUAAGGGUACAAAAAGAAACGUUUUCAAAAAUAGCAACUAAACCCCUGUUCUUUUUUUUUUUAACACUCAUUUGGGAACUUGAACUUUCAAAAUACAUCAAAAAGGCCCUCAAACAUUUUCAAAAAAAGCAAUUAAGCCCCUACUUUUAUUAAAAAUUAGAGAAAAAAUUAAAAUCAAUAAAAUCUAUAAUAUUAUUAAAUUUUAAUAAAAAUUCAAAUAUUAAAAAUUAUUAAAAAAUAUAUAAAAAUUGUAAAAUUUUAUAAAAAUUUAAAAAUUUAAAAAAUAUAUAGAAAUAUAAAAAAUUAUAAAAUUUUAUAAAGUCAUAAGAAAAUUAUACAAAUUGUAAAGAAAUAUAAAUUUGGUAAAAAAAAAUUUAUAAAAAUUAUUGUACCAAAAGAAAUUUUUUAUAAUUUUUCUAUAACUUUUAUUGAUUUUUACUUUUUUAUCUAUUUUCGCUACAUGUCACGUUGAGUUGCGACACAUAAUGACUUUAAUUGAAAAAACUAGAGGUCGUUAACUUUAACAAUCAAUAUUUAAAGUUAAUUGUUAAAAGGACUUUUGAUGGAUUUUUUUUUAUGAUUUUUAUAAUUUUUUAGUUUUGACUAUUUUUCUAAAAAAAUUCUAAUUUUUAAUAAGUUUUUAAAUUUUUAUUAAAAUUUAAUAUUUUUUUCUAAAAUUUAUUAUUUUUAUGAUUCUUUUUCUAAUUUUUAAUAAGAGUAGGGGCUUAAUUGCUUUUUUGAAAAAAAUUUAAGGCCUUUUUUAUGCAUUAUGAAAGUUCAAGUACCCAAAUUGAGUGGGGAAAAAAUAGAGGCUUAAUUGUUUCUUUGAAAAAAAAAUUAAGGUUUUUUUAUGCAUUAUGAAAGUUCAAGUACCCAAUUGAGUGGAAAAAAAAAGGGGGGUUUAAUUGCUUUUUUUGAAGAAGUGUAAAGAUAUUUUUGAUACAUUUUAAAAGUUUAAGUGCUCAAUUGAGUGUAAAAAAAAAAAAAGAGGGACUUAAAUUUUUUUUUAAAAAUUUUGAAGGGCUUUUACGCCCUUAAGCUAAUAAAAAAAACAUGUAUUAAUUUUGAUUACAAUUUCAAUAAUGAUUUCAAUAUAUCAUUAAUUUUGUGUUUAAAAAUGGUAUGUUUGAUUGUGAAAUGAUUCAUCAUCGUCCACCACAAACUAUCCAAGUUUGCAGUGUGAAAGCAGCUACUUCCAUAAAGAAAUUACUAAGGAGAUGGGAUCCACCAAUUUUGCCUAAACUCGCAUCAACAUUGUUUAGUGCUCCCUCAAUUUCACAUCAAUGCAUUCAAAUUGAAAAAUGAUUUAAUUUGAUAAAUUUGAAGUAAGGAUUUGAGUAGUGAAAUCUGAAAUAUUGAUGUAGUAACUAAAUUAUAUGAUCAUGAAAUAUGAAAAUUUAGAAAGUUGAGCAUAAAAUAGUAAAGUUUGAAACUAUAAGGGGUUAAAUUGUAAAGAUUUCAAAACUUGAGUUUUAGGACUAAUUUACAUUAUUCGAGAAUUUACAAUUUUGAACAAUAGAAUACGAAAGUUUAACUGUUCAAAAUCAAUGGCUAAUUUUUGAAAAUUUUGACAUGGUCUUGUUUCCUUCCUUGAUAUGUAUAGCUGUCAACCGAAGGUAAUCUACCAGCAUUGUGGAAAUUUGCAGAAUGCCAAAUUAUUUUCCACACGGAAGAAAUUGUGUUUAACUCGAGAAAAAGAUGAUGAGAUGAGCAUGAAGAUUAUUGAUCCACCAAUUAAUAAGCUGACAAAAUCUUGAAUGCAGAGAUUAUUGAGACUCAAAAAUCAAAGUCAUGAAAGAAGACAUAAUACUGCAUAAUGCAGUGAAAUAUAGAUGAAUGGUUACAAUAAUAAAGACAGAUGCAUGGCAAUGCAACCUUUCACCAUAGGAAAAAAAUUGAAAGACUUCAAAACAAGAAAUUAUGAAGAUACAACAUCAACACUUGAGCACCAUUUCCACUAACUAGAUCCUUCUUCGUCCAUUGCUGCGGCUGCCAUCCUUUGACUUUCGUCUUCACUUCUUCUCAUGUUGGAUUUCAACCAAAUUCACCAACCAUUUCGGCUUACCAGUUUGGAAAACAACAUAUCCCACGGACAUUCCGAACACCACUCCGCAUCCAUAACCUAUCAACACCACUUUCCAACCAAAAGUAAUGUUUGAUUUUGGGCCAUCUUUUUCAAGCACAUUUGGAGGUGCUGGCUCAAUGAUGUUGCAACCUUUCGAGACCGGAAAUCCACAUAAUCCCUUGUUUCCUUCAUAUGAAUCAUUUCCAAAUGUGUUGAACUGUUUGCCUUGAGGAAUCUGACCAUGGAGUUGAUUAUCAGAAACAUUGAAGGACGAAAGAAAUGGCAGAUCUGCCAAUCUAUUUGGAAUCGUCCGAGACAACCUGUUUGAAGAUAGGUCCAACCAUUCAAGCUUUGUCAAAUUCCCUAUUGAGGUGGGGAUACCACCAUUAAGGUUAUUAUGAGAAAGGUUGAGCCCUUUCAGUAAGUUAAGCUUCCCAAUAACCUUUGGAAUACCCCCUUCAAACUGAUAGUUUGAUAGAUCAAUGAUCAUCCACAUGGUGAAAAUUUUCACCAAUUCCAUAAAUUGUCCUUUCAUAACAAUUCCAAUGGAAUAGGUAUAGAAGCCACCUUGAGGAUCAUUCAUCCCCAUGUACGACAUUGUACUCCCAAUCUUCUCUAGAUUUAUGAUAGCCUUGAAGCUGUUGAUGUAUCUCACUGGUAGGGGUCCAGAAAAAUAAUUACUUGAGAGGUCAAAAAUUUGGAUUUUAGAGAAAAAAGGGCUAGACUUGGAGCUAUUGACACAUAAGGGACCAUGCAUAUGAUUUGACUUCAAUACAAGAACUUGUAGCUGUGGAAGACUUCCCAACCAAUGAGGAAAUGUAUCAUUGAUCUUGUUGUUACCAAGAUCUAGCACUUCCAGACCCUUACAAUUAAGGAUGGAUGGUGUCAAGGGCCCUUCUAACAGAUUUCCAUUUAAGUUGAAAUUAGUCAAUUGGCAUCCCUCUGCAAAUGUUGGAGGAAUCGUCCCAUAAAACUUGUUCUUCUUCAGAUUCAAGAAUUCAAGGCUGUUGCUCAAAUUUCCAAAACAUUGUGGAAUUGUUCCACUCAAGUUAUUGUGGGACAAAUCAAGAAUUUGAAGAGAACUGGCAUUGCAUAUUAAAGAAGAGACCUCUCCAUUGAAUCUAUUAUUUGAGAUCAGAAAGACAUUGAUUGUCGAAGCUGGAAUCGGAAGAUUUCCACGGAUCAAAUUGGAGCUUAAGUCAAGAAAUUCAAUAUUCUUCCAUGGAAAGUGCUCAACUUCUGUCAAAGAGUUGUGAGAUACGUUUAAGAAAGUCAAAGAGUCAUUCCCCAUCUCUUGCAUCCACUGUGGAAUCUUGCCUUCAAUAUUGUUGCAAGAGAGGUCUAAGCUUUCCAAACUUUUCAGCCCUUUUAAAAACUGGGGAAUUCACUAAGAUUGCAAGAUGACAAAAAUAAGUCUGUAAGAUUAACAGUAGAAGUAGUAUUAAAUGUUAAGGAUAGGCUGUUACAUGAAAGGUGGAGAUAUUUGAGAUUUGGAAGGUUUGAGAACAUGCUAAACUCUAUGACACCACUAAGGUUAUUUGAGGAUAAAGCAAGCGAUGUAAGAUUGAGAAGUUGGAAUAUUGAAGAUGGAAGAGGACCUUGGAGUUUAUUAUUCUCUAACCAUAUCCGUUCUAGUGAUUUGGAUUGGAAUUCUUUGAUAUGCCCACUGAAUUGAUUUUGAGAGAGAUAUAUUGUCUUUAAGGAGGGAGCAGUAUACAACCAUGACGGAAGUGUUCCGUUGAGUAAAUUGUCAGAUAAGCCUAAAUAUAUUAGGUUAGUAAAUUGUCAGAUAAGCCUAAGUAUUCAAGCUGCGUUAGGUUUAGAAUUGAUAAUGGAAUUUGUCCACUCAAUUGGAUCCCCGAUAAGUCUAAUUGAGUGAGCUGCAAGAGGUUCCCCAAUGAUCUUGGAAUUUGUCCACUCAAUUGGUUGCCUCCCAUGUAGAGGAGAUUGAGGUUUGGCAAAUCAAAAAUGUUUUUUGGGAAUUUUCCUUGCAAACCACAACCAGCAAGACUGAGAGACCUUAGAGAAGAGGAUAGAUUCAUGAAGACAUGAGCAUUAACAGAAGACAUGUCCAUUCCAUCCAAAAACAGAUGUCUGACCUCGGUUAGGUUGUGAACAAGUCCCUCCAGAGCAUGUUUGUCCAUUCUAUAUUGCAUAGAGAAAGCAGGCCAAGAGGAGAGAUCGAGUAAAACCAAUUUUGACAGGUGGGAGACUUGGGAUGGGACUUCUCCUACAAACCCUGUAUAAGAAAGGUUGAGGUAGAAUAGGCUUGUAAACUGACCGAAAUCGGAUGGAAUUUUGGAAAGAUUAAAAUCAUUGCCGGCAAGGUUGAGUUUUUGAAGGUGAGGAAGAAGGAAGAGAGUGGUAUUGGAAGGGAAGGUGCCAUAUAGGCAACUGCAGCUCAAGUCAAGGGCAAUAACAUGAGCAUUUAGGUGGUCACAAGUGACCCCAUCCCAUGAGCAGCAAUCUGUACCCUCCUUCCAUGAAUUUGUCUUGGGAUAAGAUUUAGGGCCGCAAGACGAAUAAGCAGCCUCUGUUAUGGAAAAAGAGUUCUUGAACUGGAUUAGUAAAGAGCAGGAGUGAGAUCCUGAAGAAGAAAAAGAAGCAUAAAGAUGGGGAAAGAAGAGGAAUAGGCAGAGAAAGAGACAGGGGGCCAUGUUAUGUUGGUAGAGGAAGAUGAAGGAUAGGAAUGGUAUUUAUAGGCAACAAAUAAUACCACAACAUUGGUGUUAGUCUUUUUUUUCUUUAACAUUGAAAAGUUAUGGAUGCUUUUACCAUAUAUUUUUCAUUCUCAAAAUUGGAUGCUUUUUCUUUUAUUUCAUAAAAACGUGUAUACUUUUAUAUGCUUUUUGUUUUAGCAAAAUUUUGUAUUUCAUAAAAAUGUGUAUACUUAUAUAUAUAUAUAUAGCCUCAUAAUUCAAAUCUAAAAUCUCAUUUGUUAUAAAUUUUGAUAAAUCAAAGGGUGAUAAAUUAGGCCCGUUUAAAAUAUGAGCUGGGUUUAGGCUUGAACAUUCAAAGCUCGAGCCCAGCCCGGCCCAUUUUUAAGUGUAUAAUACUUUAUAUUUUAUAAUUUAGAACAGAUUAAAAAAAUAAACUUAUAUUAAAUAUAUAAUAAUACUAUAAUGUAAACAUUAAAAUAAUGUUAAGAUGACUAUAUAAAAAUUUUCAAUAAAUAAAAAAUAUUUAAAUUAUUAAAUAUUAAAAUAAUAUAAUAUAAAUAUUUAAAAAAAAACUAAAAAUUAUAUGGGCAUGCCUAAAAUGAGCUUGGGUUAGUCUUUUGCAAAUAUGGAUGAGUUUAGGCAAAAUUUUAAGCUCAUAUUUUGGGCCGAGCCGAGCUUGAGCAAGCAUAAAGUACGUUAAUAUCAUGCUUAGGCCUGACCUGGCCAGGCUCAUGAGCACCUCUAUAGUUGAGUGACUAGAAUAGAACUAAAGGAAUAGUUUAGUGAUUAUUUUUGUAAUUGACCCAUAUGAAAUUUAGGUUAAUUUCUGCUAUUAGUCCUUAUACUUUGCAAAAGUUGUGGACUUAAUCUUUAUACUUUAAUUUGGUCAUUUUUAGUUCAUCUACUUUUCAAAUUUUAAAAUUUUAGUCAUCACCAAACAAUAACCGUUAAAUUUAUUAAGUUUUGUUAUUUUCAAAAAAUGAUGCGACAAAUAUAUUAGGCUUAACUCAUAAAUCGGUAUCUAAAUUAUACUCAUUUUCCCAUGUUGGUACCUAAACUUAUUUUUGGUCACAAGUGGUACAUAAACUACUUUUUUUCCCAAGUUACUACUGCCAUUAGUCAAAAGUCUAUUUUAGAAAUAGGCUUAACCCAUAAAUUGGUACCUAGACUAAAAUUUGGUACCUCCGUCAUUAGUCAAACCGUUCAGUUUAUAUGAAAAAAAAAUUAACCAAUUAAAAAUUGACAUGUAGUAAAAAAAACUAUUAUUAUUUAUAUAAAUAUAAAUGGAGAGAACUAGUUCAACCGAUUUGUUUUUGUUCGCAAGUCAAUCGAUUCAAACCCUAUUUCCGGACCGAUUUCCUAUCCAACUAGUUGAAUCAAUCUGUUUUUGAAAACACUAGUUUCCCUCAGGUCAGAGAAGUAGGUGGUGAAAUUCAAAACCAAAAUUAAUCACCAACGUUUCGACCUCAAGUGGGCCAAUUUCAAACAUUAUCGGCAUUGUCAAACAUUAUAAAGGAAUAAGAAAGAAAAAUAUAAAAAAUUAAUUAAUUAAUAAUUAUUUUUAAAAGUUUAUAUGACAUACAAUCUAUUAUUUGUUGAAAUCUUUUUAGCCGAUAUAACAUUUUGGUGUAAAAUGAGUAAUGGAAGAAUAGUUUUAGUAAUACUUAUGGCCAAAAUAAAAAUUAGGUACCUUGGGAAAAGGAGCAUUGUUUAGGUAUUAAUUAUUAUUAAUAUUAUUUGAAUCAAGACUAAAAUUUCAAAUUUCAAAAAGUAAAUGGUUUAAAAUUGACCAAUUCAAAAAAUACAAUGACUAAAAUUGAUCAAAUUAAGGUAUAAGGACUAAAUCCAUCAUUUUCGUAAAGUACAGAGACUAAUAGCAGAAUUUAACCUAAAUUUUAAUAUAAAUAAAAUCCAAAGUAGAAUAUAUUUUUUGAUAACUACAAUACAUUUAUGAGCAAGGAAAAAAGGAAGACUUACAAAGAUAAACACAGUAAGAAUGAAAAGAAUAUGGGGAUAAUUUACACAAAUUCCUUCAAAAACCAUAGCUUUUGGAGGUGAAAUUUAAUCAAAGGAAGAAUGAAAGCUCAGGUUUGGGAGUAAAUGAUAACAUACUUUCACCAAAAAGUUCAAAUAAUGAUGCUAACAAGUUCCCCGGGUCUGUGUCUUCCUUCCAAGCCUGAGCUAGAACGGUUGAUGUCUUUGAAACUCGACCCCCAACCUCCCUUCCUAGCAUGUUUUCGUUUGAUAACGGCCGUGACAUUGAUGAUACACCGAUAUUGGAACCUCCUACGGUGGUAGAAAAGCCGCUAACUGCCCCUUGUAAAUCAGUUUGAAUGGAAUUUAUUGGCAUCAUACCUAUUGCACUCUCAGUUGCUAUUUUCUUCGCAGGUGGUUGCUGCUGCAUCAAGGUGUCCGUGCUUGCUUUUCGUUUAUCUUGAUUGAUCAGAAAAAGGAAUAUCGUAAAGGGGGAGAAGAGACUUGUGGAUUAAGUGUAAAUAUGAUGGUUCGAAGAAAUCAUACUUGUCGCAACUUUGUUGUUGCUUUUCCAGAUGGGACGAGUUGGGGGUGCUAGAAAACUGGGGAACAUUUUAAGCCGAUCAUACAUGCACAGUCCAGCUGCACGCUGUUAGUGGAAAUUUUAUGCAGUGUUGUUAGUUCUACAGCAAAUAAAUGAAACGAUGCUCAUAAACUGGUACCAAAUUUGAUGUUAAACUUACCAGCAGGGCCCCAUAAACACACCAGGCCUCGUGUCUUUUUAUUUCAGGUUCAAGAAGCUGCAAAUACGCUUCAAAGCAAACAUGAGAGGGAAAUUAUUCAAAUUCCGUGCAACCUGAGAUAAAUGUGGCAAAAAUGUAAGCUUGAGAUAACCAACCAAAAGUUCUUUGCAACACACAUAUAUAAUGAGGUAUCAAAGAUCUUUAAGACAACCUCAUCCGCAAUGAAAUAUGUAAAAUAAGGAACUAAAGGAUGUAAUCCCGAGUCUGUUGCCAAACUCAGUAAUGCUUGUUUAAAGAGAACUGAGACUGAUUUAUUCAUGGUAAUGUCCACGAUCUUGUCAAAGUAAAGCUGCAUGACAACCAAAUUAGUCUUUUAAUAACAUUCUGUGCAAAAUGUAUUUUAACAUAAAAAUGUUGCUGAAGAUGUACAACAUACUUGAAGCUCUCUAGAUAAUACAUGCUUAACAGGUAAUUUGACAUCAACGGAAAGCCCAUCUUCUUUGUAUUCAGCCUUUUUACCAUCAGAAGGUGCUGCAUGGAAAGCAAACUACCAAUUCCAUGUAGAAAUGAAGAUAAGUCGUAUUAGAUUAAAGUGAUAAAACCAGAAAAGAACAUGAACCAUGAGAGUAUUCAACACAAAUAGCUUCGAGAAAAUAUUUAGGUUAGCUAAGACGGUACCUUCAAUUGAAGCAUUUUCGGGAAUUGCUGGUUGAAUGCCUUCAAUCGCAAGCCAGUGGGAUGUAACAGAUGUAUCAAGUGGUGCUUUUGGUAAAGGUGACUCAAGAACCUACAUACAUAAGGCAACAUAGGAAUUUAAGUGAAGACUUAUUUAAUAAGGCAACAUACAACAGAACCUCGAAUAUUGUUGAUCAGUUCUUACUUCUUUAAACUCCACAUCUUUGUCAUCAAUGUAGAACAAAUCAUUAUGCUUCUUGAAUCGUAGUGCAUCACGAGAGGCAAAUCCACAUAUCGGCUGAUGCCAGAGAAACACAUAACACAAGCCAAUUAACCAAAAUGCAAAAUCUAAAGCAGCAGGUUAAACUUACUACGAUUGGAUUGCAUCAUUUUAACCAGCGUUUUUGGAUUGCAUCAUUUCGAGUUUUGUCGUUCGGGUUUGACAAUUAAUUCAAAUCAUUUUAAGAUCAUGUCAUUUUGGAUUCAAAUUAUCACUUCUUUAUAAUCAAAUCGAGUUGCGUUAAGUUUAAAUUCAAAUUAAUUCAGUUUUACUACUUACUAAAACUUAUGUUUCUCAAAAUAAUUUUUUCAAAUUAAAAUUUAUUAAUUAUUUAAAUUAAGAUGUUAUUUUUUUAUUCUUUAUAUAUGUUUUACAAUUCGUGUUCAAGAUCGGUGGAUACCGCACACAACAUUAUUAUCUCCAACGUCUGAAUACGCAUUAUCUCCUUGAGAAUGUAAUAUGAUUUGCCACUACGCCAAACACUUGUUGGUAUCUAAAAUGGAUAAAAACACAUUUCUCGUCCCUCUCAAUUUCUAUAUUGAACAAAUUGAUUCCUCUCAGAAAAUUAGAGCAAUUUAAUCAUUAUCAAUUUUGAAUGGGAGCAACUAAGAACAAUUAAUCAUUGUGUUAAUACUUUCUGUAAAUUGUAUAUAUUUUUUAUUGAUAUAAUAACAAAAUAAGCUCUCGAUGUUUAUAUAUUAUAUGUAAAUGUUAAUAGAAUAUGUAAUUGUUGCGGGAUAAAUUUGUUAAAUCAAGAUCAAAUUAACAGAAUAUGUAAACAAGUUUAUAAACUUGUUAUUAUACCAAUAAAAAUAUGUACAAUUGAUGGAAAAUAUUGACAUUGUGAUUAAUUGUUCUUAGUUGCUCACUUUCGAAAUUAACAAAGAUUAAAUUGCUUUAAUUUUUUUUAAAAUGGACCAAUUUACUUAAUAUCAAAAUUGAGAGGGACUAAAGAGGGUUUUUACCAUCUAAAAUGUUAUCUAAUACAAGAAAAACUUAACAACUAUUUUUUAAUUAUGAAAAGGUAAACUACAUAAUUAGCCACUGAACUAUGGGUAAAUCUUCGUUUUGGUCACUUAACGAAAAAAGUUACAAUUUGGUCACCCUAUUGUUAAAUGACACUUUGUAGUUGCUAUAAUAACAAUUCUAGUAUUUUGUUUUUAUAAUUUUUUUUGCCAAUUUAAAAAAUAUAAACUUCUGUAUAAAAAUUAUAAAAAAAACUCAAAAUUAUUUUUAAAAAAUAUAAACUUCUAUAUAAAAAUUCUAGAAAAAUAAAAUCUCGAAUAUGUUGUUGUUGAAGAACUAAUAUGUAUGGGAAAUAAAAAAAAUUAUCAUUCAAUAGAAUCCCAUAACAAAUUAAAAACAGAACAAAACAAAAAAAAGGUUAGAUCAUUAUACGCUUCCUCAAUGUUUUUUGCAACCAAAUUAGUAAAAUUUUCAAGUUGAGUUUCAUGCCCUUGAAGAACAUCCGUAACUAUAUUACAAAAGCUUACAAAAUCAACUUUGAUGCCAUUUUUCUAGCAAAAAUAUAAAAUAUACCACAAAAUUUUCUUUUUCAAACUCAAUUCGAAUUUUCAAUUCAUUUAAAUUUAUUUUUAAAAACCCAAAUUAUAAAAGCAGAUUAUAUACAGAUAAUUUUACUUAAUCUUUUUUUUUUUUACUUUUUUCUAUGUUUUCUAAAAGAAUGGAUAUUAGAUAUUUCUUUACAAAUAAUACAAAGAAAAUUUGGAGGGUUUAAAAAUAAUAUUUCCCUCAUUUUCUCUCACUUUAUUUAUAUUUGAAAUUUUUAUCUACUUUCAUUUAAUUUUUAAUUUUUAGAAUUUUGUAAAAUUUAAAAAGAAUUUCACUUUUGUAAUCAUUUUAUAUAAUUAGAGUUAAAUUGACAGAAAGUAUAAAAAUUGAGGAUAAAAAUUAUUAUUAUACCAACUAAAAAGUGUCACUUAAUAGUCAGGUGACCAAAAAAGUUGUAAACUAUAAAAAUAGUCACCCAACUAUUAAAAUUUCCAAUUUAGUUGCUAAACUUUUUGAAAUUAAAUAUUUUAAUCACUUUCCCUUUAGUUGUCGUUAGAUGAGUGACGGAAAGCUGAUGUGGGUUUUUUUUAAUUGAUUUAAUAACAAAUUUAACCUCUAAUAUUUACCAAUGCAACUUUUCACCAUAGGAAAAACUUUCUAACAGACUACUAAACAAGAAAUUAUGAAGACACAGCAGAAAUGCUUUAACUUCAUUUGAACCAACUAGAUCCUUCUUCAUCCAUUGAUGCGAUUGCUAUAUUUCGGCUUUCUUCUUCGCCUCUUCUCAUGUUGGUCUUCAGCCAAAUUCACGAACCUUUUCGCCUUACCGGUUUGGAAAACAACACAUCCCAUGGCCAUUCCACAUGUUGGAAAAGGAUUACCCCUACCGUUAUAUUUUGUCUUCUCUCAUCAAUGAUAUUGCGAUACCCAAAGUUUGGUAUCGCGAUAUCUACAACAGUCUUGGGGAUCCUUGGGAGUUUUGGGUAUCGCGAUAUCUUAUGACCGGUAUCACGACAACACUGUUGAUGGCUCAAUCUUCCUUGUUUUUAACAUUGUUAUGGGUAUUACGACUUUCAUGCUUUGAUCUGCGAUACCCUCUUUCUAGGUAACAUUUUCGCUCCUUCCAGGCCACCAUGGGCUCUCUGCAUCACUCAUCAACCUCAUUAGAUUCCCGGAGUGCCAUUUGGCCAUCUUAGGUCUUAAAAUAGCAUCAAAAUGCACACUAAUCAUUUAUUAAUAUAAAGAACUAAAACAAAAUAAAAACGCAACAAAGAUAUCUAAAUUGCUCGAAAAUAAACUUUUAAGUGUGAUGGAGAGCCUAAUUUGACAUAUCAAUUUAUAGCAAAUCAUAAACAUUAUUUGCGGAACUUGUUAAAAUUUCAGAUUUCUUUAUUAGUUUUCUUUCAAUAUUUUGUACGGUUCAUUUGUAGUAAUAUAUUGUGCAGAUCAUAGGCUAAAUUGCUUUAUUAGUUUUCUAUUGUUGAUCUUUAUUAUUAUUAUUAUUAUUAUUAACACUACUUCCUUUUUACCAUAUAAUUUUUAUUCAUAAAAAUGAAGAGUUGAUUUACCCAAAAUUUGUAUUUCAUUUGAACUCCCUAAAGAAUGAAGAACUGAAAUAAUUAGAAAUUAUUUUGACUUGCUCUUGCUUCCUUUCUAUGUAUGAAUGUGGAAAUUGGCAUAAUGCCAACUUAUUUUCCACGCAGAAGAAGAAAAUGGUGCUCUAUUCACUCCCUUUAACUCAGCAACUUUGUAAUCAUUCUAUAUAAUCAGAGUCAAAUUGACAAAAAUUAGUAUAAAAAUUGAGGAAUCAAAUUAUUAUUAUGCCAACUAAAAAGUGUCACUUAAUAGUCAGGUCACCAAAAAUGUUGUAAACUAUAAAAAUAGUCACCCAACUAUUAAAUUUUCCAAUUUAGUUGCUAAACUUUUUGAAAUUAAAUAUUUUAAUCACUCUCCCUUUAGUUGUCGUUAGAUGAGUGACGGAAAGCUGAUGUGGGUUUUUUUAUUGAUCUAAUAACAAAUUUAACCUCUAAUAUUUACACAUAGGAAAAAAAUUGAAAGACUUCAAAACAAGAAAUUAUGAAGAUACAACAUCAGCACUUGAACAUCAUUUCCACUAACUAGAUCCUUCUUCGUCCAUUGCUGCGACUGCCAUCCUUUGACUUUCUUCUUCGCUUCUUCUCAUGUUGGAUUUCAACCAAAUUCACCAACCAUUUCGGCUUACCAGUUUGGAAAACAACAUAUCCCACGGACAUUCCCAACACCACUCCGCAUCCAUAACCUAUCAACACCACUUUCCAACCAAAAGUAAUGUUUGAUUUUGAGCCAUCUUUUUCAAGCACAUUUGGAGGUGCUGGCUCAAUGAUGUUGCAACCUUUCGAGACCGGAAAUCCACAUAAUCCCCUGUUCCCUUCAUAUGAAUCAUUUCCAAAUGUGUUGAACUGUUUGCCUUGAGGAAUCUGACCAUGGAGUUGAUUUUCAGAAACAUUGAAGGACGAAAGAAAUGGCAGAUCUGCCAAUCUAAUUGGAAUCGUCCCAGACAACCUGUUUGAAGAUAGGUCCAACCAUUCAAGAUUUGUCAAAUUCCCUAUUGAGGUGGGGAUACCACCAUUAAGGUUAUUAUGAGAAAGGUUGAGCCCUUUCAGUAAGUUAAGCUUCCCAAUAACCUUUGGAAUACCCCCUUCAAACUGAUUGUUUGAUAGAUCAAUGAUCAUCCACAUGGUGAAAAUUUUCACCAAUUCCAUAUCUUGUCCUUUCAUAACAAUUCCAAUGGAAUAGGUAUAGAAGCCACUACCUCGAGGAUCAUUCACCCCCAUGUACGACACUGUACUACCAAUCUUCUCUAGAUUUAUGAUAGCCUUGAAGCUGUUGAUGUAUCUCACAGGUAGGGGUCCAGAAAAAUAAUUACUCGAGAGAUCAAAAAUUUGGAUUUUAGAGAAAAAAAGGCUAGACUUGGAGCUAUUGACACAUAAGGAACCAUGCAUAUGAUUUGACUUCAAUACAAGAACUUGCAAAAAUGGAAGACUUCCCAACCAAUGAGGAAAUGUAUCAUUGAUCUUGUUGUUACCAAGAUCUAGCACUUCCAGACCAAUACAAUUAAGGAUGGAUGGUGUCAAAGGCCCUUCUAACAGAUUUCCGUUUAAGUUGAAAUUAGUCAACUGGCAUCCCUCUGCAAAUGUUGGAGGAAUCGUCCCAUAAAACUUGUUCUUCUUCAGAUUCAAGAUUUCAAGGCUGUUGCUCAAAUUUCCAAAACAUUGCGGAAUUGUUCCACUCAAGUUAUUGUGGGACAAAUCAAGAAUUCCAAGACAUUGCGGAAUUGUUCCACUCAAGUUAUUGUGGGACAAAUCAAGAAUUCCAAGAGAAGUGACAUUGCAGAUUAAAGAAGAGACCUCUCCAUUGAAACUAUUAUUUGAGAUUAGAAAGACAUUGAUGGUCGAAGCUGGAAUCGGAAGAUUUCCACGGAUCAAAUUGGAGCUUAAGUCAAGAAAUUCAAUAUUCUUCCAUUGAAAGUGCUCAACUUCUGUCAAAGAGUUGUGGGAUACAUUUAAGUAAGUCAAAGAGCCAUUUCCCACCUCUUGCAUCCACUGUGGAAUCUUGCCUUCAAUUUUGUUGCAAGAGAGGUCUAACCAUUUCAAACUUUUAAGCCCCUUUAAAAAUUGGGGGAAUUCACUAAGAUUGCAAGAUGACAAAAAUAAGCUUGUAAGAUUAACAGUAGAAGUAGUAUUAGAUGUUAAGGAUAGGCUGUUAUAUGAAAGGUCAAGAUCUUCGAGAUUUGGAAGGUUUGAGAACAUGCGAAACUCUAUGACACCACUAAGAUUAUUUGAGGAUAAGCUGAGAAGGGUAAGAUUGAGAAGUUGGAAUAUUGAAGAUGGAAGAGGACCUUGGAGUUUAUUAUUGUCUAGAUAUAAAUAUUCUAGUGAUUUGGAUUGGAAUUCUUUGAUAAGCCCACUGAAUUGAUUUUGAGAGAGAUAUAUUCUCUUUAAGGAGGGAGCAGUAUGGAACCAUGACGGAGGUGUUCCAUUGAGUAAAUUGUUAGUUAAGUCUAAAUAUAUUAGAUUAGGAAAAGCGGUUACCUCAUCUGGAAUGGAACCGUUUAAUGAAUUUUCAGAUAUUCUCAAGCUUUCCAACUGCGUUAGGUUUAGAAUUGACGAUGGAAUUUGUCCACUCAAUUGGUUCUGCGACAAGUCUAAAAGAGUGAGUUGCAAGUGGUUCCCCAAUGAUCUUGGAAUUUGUCCACUCAAUUGGUUCCCCGACAAGUCUAAAUGAGUGAGUUGCAAGAGGUUCCCCAGUGAUCUUGGAACCGUUCCUGAUAAGUUGGAAUUGGAGAGAUCUAAAAACUUCAAUGACACAAGAUUCCCCAUCGAGUCAGGCAAUCCUCCAAAAAAAUUUGCGCCUCCAGUAAACAAGUACCCCGAUUUUCUGAUUGAGACAGAAGAAAAAAAACUUCCUGAUAGAUCUAAGUACUUUAAGGCCUGUAGAUUAUCAACUGAAUCAAUGAAUUCUGUAGAGAAGGGCAUGAACGACAGAUCCAAAUGUUCAAGAUUGCUGCUCCGAUUCAACUUCAAAGGAUCAAGACUGAGGAUUGGGUUGCUUCCCAAGUUGAGGAGAUUGAGGUUUGGCAAUGUUUUUUGGGAAUUUUCCUUGCAAAUCACAAUUAGCAAGACUUAGAGACCUUAGAGAAGAGGAUAGAUUCCUGAAGACAUGAGCAUUAACAGAAGACAUGUCCAUUCCAUCCAAAAACAGAUGUCUGACCUCGGUUAGGUUGUGAACAAGUCCUCUCAGAGCAUGUUUCUCAAUUGUAAAUUGCUCAUGGCCAUUAAUCAAAGAGAGAUCAAGUGAAACCAAUUUUGACAGGUGGGAGACUUGGGAUGGGAGUUCUCCUGCAAACCCUGUACGAGAAAGGUUGAGGUAGAAUAGGCUUGUAAACCGACCGAACUCGGAUGGAAAUUUGGAAAGAUUAAAAUCAUUGUAGGCAAGGUUGAGUUUUUGAAGGUGAGGAAGAAGGAAGAGAGUGGUAUUGGAAGGGAAGUUGCCAUAUAGGCAACUGCAGCUCAAGUCAAGGGCAAUAACAUGAGCAUUUAGGUGGUCACAAGUGACCCCAUCCCAUGAGCAGCAAUCUGUACCCUCCUUCCAUGAAUUGGUCUUGGGAUAAGAUUUAGGGCCAUCAAAACUACCGCAAUCAAAAAAAGUAGCCUCUGUUAUGGAAAAAGAGUCCUUAAACUGGAUUAGUGAAGAGCAGGAGUGAGAUCCUGAAGAAGAAAAAGAAGCAUAAAGAUGGGGAAAGAAGAGGAAGAGGCAGAGAAAGAGAUAGGGGGCCAUGUUAUGUUGGUAGAGGAAGAUGAAGGAUAGGAAUGGUAUAUAUAGGCAACAAAUAAUACCACAACAUUGGUGUUACAGUCUUUUUCUCUUUUACAUUGAAAAGUUACGGAUAUUAGAUUUUCAAAAUUUUUGUAUUUAUCAACAACCACUUAGUCUUCCUUUUACCAUUUAUUUUUCAUUCUUAAAAUUGGAUGCUUUUUCUUUUAGCAAAAUCUUGUAUUUCAUUAAAAUGUGUAUACUCAUAAUUAAAAUCUAAAAUCUCAUUUGUUAUAAAUUCUGAUAAAUUUAUUUGGGAAUAAUUAUUUUUCUUUCGUUAAUUAUUUCUCUUUUAAUCAAGUAAAAAUUAAAAAUUAAAAAGACAUAAUGAUUUAUUUAGCAUUUUUUAACUUUACAAACGAAAAGUCAUUUUAACUUCUCAUUUUUUUUUAUCUCUUUUAGCUUUAAAACAAAAAGACAUAAUGAUAUAUUUUGAUUUUUGCUCAUCUAAAAAAUCAAAGGGUGAGAGAGGGGAUUAAAAAUAUUUUUUAAAUAUAUAUUAAAAUUUUUAGAAUUAGAACUAAAUUGCUAAUUUUUGAAAAUAUUAAGGGUUAAAUUUAUUAAUUUUUUUAGAAUUUGAACUAAAAUGACAGGUUUUGUUAACAUUUAGGGCUAAAUUUGUUGAUUUUUUUUAUAUCUAGGAUCAAAUUGAUAGAAUAUGUAAACAUUGGAGGGCUAAAUUUGUUAUUAGACUAAUAAAAAAAGCCCACAUCAGCUUUCCGUCACUCAUUUAACAACCUAAUAGGAGAGUGACUAAAAUAUUUACUUUCGAAAAGGUUAACAACUAAAUCGAAAAAAUUAAUAGUUGAGUAAACUUGUUCAUGAGUUGGGCUACUUGCCAAGGCCCAAGUGCCGUCCGAAAUUUGGGAGGGUCUGGAUAAAAAUAUUAGGCCCGAAAAUUGAGUUUGGGUAAAACAUUAGGCCCGUUUAAAAUAUGGGCUAAGUUCAGGCUUGAACAUUCAAAGCCUGAGCCCAGCCCGGCCCGUUUUUAAGUGUAUAAUACUUUAUAUUAUAUAAUUUAGAACAGAUUAAAAAAAUAAACUUAUACUAAAUAGAUAAUAAUACUAUAAUGUAAACAUUAAAAUAAUGUUAAAAUGACUAUAUAAAAAUUUUUAAUAAAUAAAAAAUGUUUAAAUUAUUAAAUAUUAAAAUAACAUAAUAUAAAUAUUUUAAAAAAAACUAAAAAUUAUAUGGGCAUGCCUAAAAUGAGCUUGGGUUAGUCUUUUGCAAAUAUGGAUGAGUUUAGGUGAAAUUUUAAGCUCAUAUUUCGGGCCGAGCUAAGCUUGAGCAAGCAUAAAGUACGUUAAUAUCAUGCUUAGGCCUGACCUGGUCCAGCUCAUGAGCAUCUCUAUAGUUGAGUGACUAGAAUAGAACCAAAGGAAUAGUUUAGUGAUUAUUUUUGUAAUUGACCCAUAUGAAAUUUAGGUUAAUUUCUGCUAUUAGUCCUCGCACUUUGCAAAAGUUGUGGACUUAAUCUUCAUACUUUAAUUUGGUCAUUUUUAGUGGAGAUCAAAAUGGUAUAAUACCGACAGUGGGAACCUUACAACAUUUGAAAAAGUUAUGCCUAAUUGUGUAGUAAACAACACUUUAAAAAUGUAGUCCCUAUAUUCAAACUUAUGCCGUAAAAGUUGAAUAAUAGUAUCUAAGAAACAAAUUUUCCACCAGACUGGAAAUUUUGUAUUGCUUGGAAUUAAUUGACUCUCAUCUUCUGUUACUAGCUUCAAAAAUAUUGUAUUGCUUUAAAUUCAAACAAGAAAUAGGGGAAAUUUUUACAUGGAAACAAAUUUUGCUAUUUAAAUUUCCCAAUUCUUUACUCAAAGUUGGUUCUAAAUUAAAUUUAGAAAAAGAAAAGAGGUUUAAGGGUGCAAAAAGCCCUCAAACUUUUUCAAAACUAGCAACUAAACCCCUGCUCUUAUAUAAAAAUUGUAAAAAAAAUUGUAAAAUUAUUUAAAAAUUAAUAAAAAAUUAAAAAAAUUAAAAAUUAUUAAAAAUAUAUAAAAAUUGUAAAAUUUUAUAAAAAAUUGUAAAAUUUUAUAAAAAAGUUUAAAAAAUUUUAAAAUAUAUAGAAAUAUAAAAUUUUAUAAAAUCAUAAGAAAAUUAUACAAAAUGUAAAAAAAUAAAUUUGUAAAAAAAUUAUAAAAAUUAUUGUACCAAAAGAAAUAUUUUAUAAUUUUUCCAUAACUUUUAUUGAUUUUUACUUUUUAUCUGUUUUCACUACAUGUCACGAUGAGUUGCGACACAUAAUGACUUUAAUUGAAAAAACUAGAGGUCGUUAACUUUAACGAUCAAUAGUUAAAGUUAAUCGUUAAAAGGACUUUUUGAUGGAUUUUAUAUAUUUUUAUGAUUUUUAUAAAAUUUUAUAAUUUUUUUUAUUUUUUGACGAUUUUUCUAAAAAAAUUUCUAAUUUUAAUAAGUUUUUAAAUUUGUAUUAAAAUUUAAUAAUUUUUCUAAAAUUUUUUAUUUUUAUGAUUUUUUUUCUAAUUUUUAAUAAGAGCAGGGGCUUAAUUGCUUUUUUGAAAAAAAUUUAAGGCCUUUUUGAUGCAUUAUGAAAGUUCAAGUACCCAAUUGAGUGGGAAAAAACUAAAGGCUUAAUUGUUUCUUUGAAAAAAAAAAUUAAGGUCUUUUUGAUGCAUUAUGAAAGUUCAAGUACCCAAUUGAGCAGAAAAAGUUAGGGAUUUAAUUGCUUUUCCGCUGGAAAUUAAGUUCUAAUCUUUUCCGCAUUCAACCUAAAAGCAAAGCAUAUCGAAAAUUGGAUCAUGUAAAAAAAAAAAGUAGCCACACACAUUGGUCAAACAUAGGCAUGCUUAAUGAUCCACACGUAAUUAAUCUAUGUAUUCUGCAUAUAACAUGCAUGCUCGCACCAUUUGUUUUGCAUGUGUGAAAUAGCAUGAAAAUGAUAUACACUUGAUUUGAAGAAUAGAUCCAAGUUUAUAACUAAAAAAUCAGACAUCUGAAAUUCAUAAAAACGAAUAUGCAUGUAUAAGUCCAAAAGAAAAGAAAUCUUCACCUUUUGCAUAUUGAUGCCACUAGCUUUGCUGCGAAGUUUCUAAGUUCCCAAUGAUUGUCGGUGAAUUUAUUUCCUAACCUUUUUGCAACGAGGCAGGUAAUAAUAGAAGGCAUCAACUGGUGUAACUGAAGAACAUUUUAAAAAAUCAGAUAGGUGGAAAAUAAACCACUAGCAUAUUUGCGUUAGUUCGUGUACUUCUAAAUCAUUGAAAUAAUAAACUCACAUAAGGUUCUAUGAGUAAGUGUUCAUUCUGGAGAAGACUCCGGGCAACACGCAUCAAAGCAAACAUGUGGCAAAAAUGUAAGCUUGAGAUAACCAACCAAAAGUUCUUUGCAACAGACAUAUAUAAUGAGGUAUGAAAGAUCUUUAAGACAACCUCAUCCGCAAUGAAAUAUGUAAAAUAAGGAACUAAAGGAUGUGAUCCUUUUUUAUGCAUUAUGAAAGUUCAAGUACCCAAUUGAGCAGAAAAAAAUAGGGAUUUAAUUGCUUUUUUUAAGAAGUGUAAAGAUAUUUUUGAUACAUUUUAAAAGUUUAAAUGCUCAAUUAAGUGUAAAAAAAAAAAGAGGGACUUAAAUUUUUAUUUUUAUUUUUGAAAAUUUUGAAGGGUUUUUAUGCCCUUAAGCUAAUAAAAAGAACAUGUAUUAAUUUUGAUUAUAAUUUCAAUAAUGAUUUCAAUAUAUCGUUAAUUUUAAAAAAAAGGAAAUGCAACUUAGUUUUUUUAAAAAAAAUUAAAGAACAUGGACAACUUGAUGAUUAAAUAAAAAAAAUGUAAAGCCAAAAAUCUAGAUUAGAAUUGUAUUCAAAAUAAUAAAUAGAAUGCAUGUGUGCAAAAAGAACUCCAUUAGUAAUGUCGAAUUUCAAAGACAAAGGAGGAUGCUGUUUUUGUCGUGACAUAACAUAAAUAGUUGACUACGUGGGUGGCCACAUACAAUGCUUCAAAGGUUAAGAUAUAAUGGAAAACAAACUUUUCUUGUCGUCAAUGGUCAAUGUUAUGACCGAACAAAGUUUGGUCAAUUUCAAAGGUUAUAUUUGUCGUUUGGUAGACGAGGUGGGCGUUGCCACUGUGAAUAAUAAUAAUAAUAUCCAUACACUACAAUCCCCACCUUUGGGCCAAAAUAAUAAAACCCAAUUAAUAUGAAAGGGAGAGUUCAUACCCACUAAAAGAACACACUCCCUAUAAACCACCUCUAAUCCUGCUAAUAGUACAAUUUAACUGCACCUCCUUGGUAGUAAAAAAGUACGAAGCACAGAAUGAAAGCCCUAUGUUUCCACAUAAGUUCACACGACACGACAAUAACGAGUAGUGGAUAGUUAAUAUAAAUAAGCAGGAGGCCCCAGUUCUCAAUUGCAGACUGCAAUGCAGUGCAAUAGUUGUCACAUCUCAAACCCCUUCUUCCUCUUCUUCUUCUUCUGACACAUCACUCUCCACCAAUCCCAGAUGAUUUGGCUUUUGCCUUGUCUGAUUUGGAACCCAGUUCUCAAUUGGGUUUUUUUGGCUGCUAAGGGAAGUUGCCAUAUAGCCAACUGCAGCUCAAGUCAAGAGCAAUAACAUGAGCAUUUAGGUGGUCACAAGUGACCCCAUCCCAUGAGCAGCAAUCUGUACCCUCCUUCCAUGAAUUUGUCUUGGGAUAAGAUUUAAGGCCAGCAAAAUCAUUGCAAUAAGAAGAAGCAUCCUCUAUUAUGGAAAAAGAGUUCUUGAACUGGAUUAAUGAAGAGCAGGAGUGAGAUCCUGAAGAAGAAAAAGAAGCAUAAAUUUUAAAAAUUUUAAAAAUAAAACAUAUAUUAAAAUUUUCUAAGCAUUGCAGAAGAUUGUCCAAUAAACAAAUUAACGCAACAUUUUAGUUAUUGUCUACUGUCCAAUAAUGCCAUGUGUAUUAGUACAAACAUCCCCAUUUCACUUUUUUUUCAGUUUCCCAAAAACUCAUUUCACUCUAAGCUUUAUAAAAAAAAAAUUAUUUUAGUCCUUAAUUUAAUGCUGUUUUGCCUAGAAAUUGUUUUGCAAAUUUAUUUUGUUUUAUUUAUUUCUAAACCCAUAUUUCUUUUCUACAACCCCAAUUAUUAGAUUGUUUAGGGUUUUGACUAACUUUCGAUUUUGGAAUUUUAGAUUUUUUAAAUUUAAAUAUGAAGUGCUCUUCUUCUUCUCCAAACCCACAAUUUUUUUUGCCAAAUUUCAACUCAAUGUUUUACUUUCAGCUAUAAAUAAAAAAAUAUAUUAUAUUUAUAAUGAUCCAAGAAUAGUAGAGUCGACGCAGAUCUACAUGAAAAAGGAGGAAAAAAAAAGGCAAAGAAAGAUAAUAUGAAGAGAGCAUACAUCAAUAAAGCAAAUGAAAAACGAGCAGAAUUAAAGUAAAUGGGUAUUUAAUAUUUUUUUGUGAAAGUUCAAAGACUGAUUAUUUAUGAGAUUGGAUGUGGAAAAAGUAGUUGGAAAUUUUUUUUUUUCUUGCACCAAUUGAUUUUUUAUAUAAAUUUUUUAUUUAUUUUCAGAUUUUUAAAUUUUGUUACAAUUAUUUUUAUGAAAAUUUAAAAAUAUAAAAAAUACUUUUUGAACUAUAAUUUAAGGAUCAAGUUAGCUAUUAAUCAUUUGAAUAAAUAAAACAUACACAUGGAUUAAUGAAUUAAUCCACAAGCAAUGUUGGACAUUUUCAUAAUGCCAAAUUUCACUUCAGAUUUAGUUACCCAUAAUCAUAUUUAAACAAACAAAAAUACAACAAUCAUACAAAAUAGGCAUAACUAGAAAACAUGAGAAAAAUGAGAAAAGCUUGAAAACAAUUACAAUGGUAGCAAAGGAAAUGUAAAAAAAAACCCUAAAAAUAGAUUUUUAAUGAUGAAGGGAAUUUAUUUAUAUUAAAACCAAGGAUUAAGCUGAAAAUACAAAGAGUUAAAGGUACUAAACGAGCCAAUAAAUCCUAGCUACAGUGAUAAUUAACUUAACUAACUACUAUUAUUGGAACCAAGAAAAACUCAAAGAAAACAUGAAUUAAACCCUAGAGUUAUGGAGAAGAAAACUAAAACUCUAAAAAUAAAGAGAAAAAUUGAAAAACAUGAAAUGUUAAGUGUUGCCUUUUGUUCAGCCAAUUUUUUGCCCUUUCUAGCAAAUUACAGAUCCAAAAAUAGUGACCAAAUUGUCCAUGAUCAUCUAAUUUUGGUUAGGGGACAUGUUGGAAAAGGAUUACCCUACUGUUAUAUUUUGUCUCCUCUCAUCAAUGAUAUUGCGAUACCAAGUUUGGUAUCGCGAAAUUCACAACAGUCGUGGGGAUCCUUGGGAGUUUUGGGCAUUGCGAUACCUUAUGAUCGGUUUCACAAUAACACUGUUGAUGGCUCAAUCUUCCUUGUUUUUAAAAUUUUUAUGACGACUUUCGUGCUUUGAUAUGUGAUACCCUCUUUCUAGGUGACAUUUUCACUCCUUCCGGGCCACCAUUUGAACUCCCUAAAGAAAGAAGUGAAAUAAUUAGAGUUGAUGAUAUUGACUUGGUCUUGCUUCCUUUAUAUGUAUGAAUGUGGAAAUUGGCAUAAUGCCAAAACAGCCUUCAGUUCAUCUACAUUCCGCGUCAAAUCUACAAGCAUGAAUAUUAACCUUUGAACUCCAUAAUAACAACACCAAUUUCUGCAUUGUUCCAUUUUACAGUCUUUCCAUUUUAGCAAUUAAAGCAACCUAUAUGUACCCUUUUACAGUCUGCAUUGUUCCAUGUUUCAAUUCAUUAUAUCAUUCCUUCAACUCUGCUAUAUAUUAUUACUUUCUCCAUAUAACCAAACCUUUUACUGCUAACUUGUAAAAAAAUUAUGAAAAUACAACAGAGAUCAUUGCGCCAUUUUGUUCUCCUUUCUCCUUUACUGAGCAGUAGCAAAGAUUAUCGAGACUAAAUUGAAAGUCAUGAAAGAAGACAUAAACAACACCACCAUACAAAAUGUUACACUCAAACAAACCAUUACUGAAAGUACGAAAUGCAAUGAAAGACAGAGGAAUUGGUACAAUAAUAAAGACAGACACAUACCAAUGCAACCCUUCACCAUAGGCAAAACGGUCUACAGACUAAGAAAUUAUGAAAAUACAACACUAAUUCUUCACCAUCAUUUGCAGUAAUUAGAUCCUUCUUCGUCUACUGCUGCAAUUGCCUUUCUUUGACUUUCUUCUUCGCCUAUUCUCAUGUUGGUCUUCAACCAAAUUCACCAACCAUUUCGGCUUUCCAGUUUGGAAAACAACAUAUCCCACGAACAUUCCGAACACUACUCCGCAUCCAUAACCUAUCAACACCACUUUCCAACCAAAAGCAAUGUUUGAUUUUGAGCCAUCUUUUCCAAGCACAUUUGGAGGUGCUGGCUCAAUGAUGUUGCAACCUUUUGAGACCGGAAAUCCACAUAGUCCCUUAUUUCCUUUGAAUUGUUUGCCUUGAGGAAUCUGACCAUGGAGUUGAUUUUCAGAAAAUUUACGGACGAAAGAAAUGGCAGAUCUACCAAUCUAUUUGGAAUCGUCCCAGACAAACUGCUUGAAGAUAGGUCCAACCAUUCAAGACUUGUCAAAUUCCCUAUUGAGGUGGGGAUAUCACCAUUAGGGUUAUUAUGAGAAAGGUUGAGCCCUUUCAGUAAGUUAAGCUUCCCAAUAACCUUUGGAAUACCCCCUUCAAACUGAUUGUUUGAUAGAUCAAUGAUCAUCCACAUGGUGAAAAUUUUCACCAAUUCCCUAUCUUGUCCUUUCAUAACUAUUCCAAUGGAAUAGGUAUAGAAGCCAGGACCCCAAGGAUAAUUCAACCCCAUGUACGACACUGUACUCCCAAUCUUCUCUAGAUUUAUGAUAGCCUUGAAGCUGUUGAUGUAUCUCACUGGUAGGGGUCCAGAAAAAUAAUUACUUGAGAGGUCAAAAAUUUGGAUUUUAGAGAAAAAAGGGCUAGACUUGGAGCUAUUGACACAUAAGGAACCAUGCAUAUGAUUUGACUUCAAUACAAGAACUUGUAGUGUGGAAGACUUCCCAACCAAUGAGGAAAUGUAUCAUUGAUCUUGUUGUUACCAAGAUCUAGCACUUUCAGCUCAUAACAAUUAACGAUGGAUGGUGUCAAAGGCCCUUCUAACAGAUUUCCAUUUAAGUUGAAAUUACUCAAUUGGAAAAACUCUGCAAAUGUUGGAGGAAUCGUCCCAUAGAACUUGUUCUUCUUCAGAUUCAAGAAUUGAAGCUGGUAGCUGAAAUUUCCAAAACAUUGAGGAAUUGUUCCACUCAAGUUAUUGUGGGACAAAUCAAGAAUUUGAAGAGAACUGGCAUUGCAUAUUAAAGAAGAGACCUCUCCAUUGAAACUAUUAUUUGAGAUCAGAAAGACAUUGAUUGUCGAAGCUGGAAUCGGAAGAUUUCCACGGAUCAAAUUGGAGCUUAAGUCAAGAACUGCAAUAUUAUUCCAUGGAAAGUGCUCAACUUCUGUCAAUGAGUUGUGAGAUACAUUUAAGUAAGUCAAAGAGCCAUUCCCCACCUCUUGCAUCCACUGUGGAAUCUUGCCUUCAAUUUUGUUGCAAGAGAGGUCUAACCUUUCCAAACUUUUAAGCCCUUUCAAAAAUUGGGGGAAUUCACUAAAAUUUAAGGGUUUAAUAAGAUUUUUUAAAAAAAUUGGGGGUCUAAUAAAAAAAUUUAAAAUUUUUUGUGAGAUUAAUGAGAAUUUUCAAAAUUUUAAGAGCACUUAAUUAAAAUUUUCAAAAAAAAUUAAAAGGUAUAAUGAAAAAUUUAAAAAAUUUUUGGGGCUUAAUUGAAAUUUUCUAAAAAUUUCAAAGGAAAAAACAAAAUUCUCCGAUUUUUUUUUUUUUUUGCAUGGGUGGCGGGACAAAGAGCCCCCUAAGCCACCAUAAUAGUCCGUCUUUACCAAGGAUCAUAAUAAACCAUAUAUAAAUAGUUUAGGUACCACAUUAAACAUUUUCAAAGUACAUGUACCAUAAUAAUAACACAUACUGAUAGUACCACAUUAUAUAUUUUCAAAGUACUUGUACCACUAGACAUUUUAUGAAAGUACAGAUAUCAAAGGUGACAUUAUCCCUACUUAUAAUAAUAAUAUCAAAGUUAAAAGAUGCUUUUAGUCCCUAUAUUUAAAAGGUUAGAAAUUAAGUCUUCCGACUUUUUUAUUUAAAAAUCUCGGUACAAUCAUUAAACUCGUAAGUAUUUUCUGUCAAAAUUUAGUAAUUUAACAUGUUGAUUAAGCUAACGGAAACUACAACCAACAUAAAUAAUUAAACUAAUAUUUUUAAAUUAAGAAAAAUUAACUUUUAAAGUACAGGACUAAAACUCAAAUUCUAUAAACCAUUGUUGUUUUAUGCAUGUCGUGAAUGUACGGAAUUUGCUUUCAAUUCUGAAAAAAGCUUGUUACUUUCUAUUUGGUUUUCUCUGAUUUUCUCUUUACAUCAUUUCAUUUCAUGCUUUUUAAUUAGGAGGUUACGAUUGAUUUUAGGUGGUGUGAAUUUGGGUCGGGUCAAUUUUAAUUUAAAAAUUUUCGGGUUAUUUCGAGUUUAUAUUACAUAAAAUUUAGGUUAUUUUAGGAUUAAAUUAUUUUGGAUUUGAGUCGGUGUAAGGUUUUUUUUUUUUCAUAGUUUAGUUCAUUUGCUUUGUGUUUUUGGAUUGCAUCAUUUCGAGUUUUGCCAUUCGGGUUUGAUCACUAAAUCAAAUCAUUUCAAGAUCAUGUCAUUUUGGAUUCAAAUUAUCAAUUUUUUAUAAUCAAAUUGAGUUGAGUUAAGUUUAAAUUCAAAUUAAUUAAGUUGUAUUUUUAUGAUUCUGAUAUAAUGGACAUGUUUUAUCGAUUCAAUUUUACUAUUUAUAAAACCUAUGUUUCUCAAAAUACUUUUUUUCAAAUUAAAAUUUAUUAAUUAUUUAAAUUAAGAUGUUAUUCUUUUUAUUCUUUAUAUAUGUUUUACAGUCUGUGUUCGAGAUCCGUGAAUACCCCACACAACAUUGUUAUCUCCAACGAAUACGCAUUCUCUCCUUCAGAAUGUAAUAUGCCUUGCCACUACGCCAAACACUUGUUGGUAUCUAAAAUGGAUAAAAAAAACACAUUUCUCGUCCCUCUCAAUUUCUAUAUUGAACAAAUUGGUUCCUCUCAGAAAAUUAGAGCAAUUUAAUCAUUAUCAAUUUUGAAAGGGAGCAACUAAGGACAAUUAAUCAUUGUGUUAAUGCUUUCUAUAAAUUGUACAUAAUUUUUAUUGAUAUAAUAACAAAUUAAGCUCUCGAUGUUUAUAUAUUAUGUGUAAAUGUUAAUAGAAUAUGUAAUUGUUGCGGGCUAAAUUUGUUAAAUCAAGACCAAAUUGGCAGAAUGUGUAAACUUUGAGAGCUAAAUUUGUUAUUAUACCAAUAAAAAUAUGUACAAUUGAUGGAAAAUAUUGACAUUGUGAUUAAUUGUCCUUAGCUACUCACUUUCGAAAUUAACAAAGAUUAAAUUGCUUUGAUUUUUUUUAAAUGGACCAAUUUACUUAAUAUCAAAAUUGAGAGCGACUAACGAGGGUUUUUACCAUCUAAAAUCUUAUCUAAUACAAGAAAAACUUAACAACUAUUUUUUUAAUCAUGAAAGGGUAAACUACAUAAUUAGCCACUGAACUAUGGGUAAAUCUUCGUUUUGGUCACUUAACUAAAAAAGUUACAAUUUGGUCACCCUAUUGUUAAAUGACACUUUGUAGUUGCUAUAAUAACAAUUUUACUAUUUUGUUAUAUAAUUUUUUUUGCCAAUCUACCUCGAUUCUAUAUAAAAAUUAUAAAAAGAAACUCAAAAUUAUUUUAAAAAAUAUAAACUUCUAUAUAAAAAUUCUAGAAAAAUAAAAUCUCGAAUAUGUUGUUGUUGAAGAACUAAAAUGUAUGGGAAAUAAAAAAAAAUUAUCAUUCAAUAGAAUCCCAUAACAAAUUAAAAACAGAACAAAACAAAAAAAAAAGGGUUAGAUCAUUAUAUGCUUCCUCAAUGUUUUUUGCAACCAAAUUAGUAAAAUUUUCAAGUUGAGUUCCAUGCCCUUGAAGAACAUCUGUAACUGAUAUUACAAAAGCUUACGAAAUCGACUUUGAUGCCAUUUUUCUAGCAAAAAUAUAAAAUAUACCUCAAAAUUUUCUUUUUCAAACUCAAUUUGAAUUUUCAAUUCAUUUAAAUUUAUUUUUAAAAACCCAAAUUAUAAAAGCAGAUUAUAUACAGAUAAUUUUACUUAAUCUUUUUUUUACUUUUUUCUAUGUUUUCUAAAAGAAUGGAUAUUAGAUAUUUCUUUACAGAUAAUACAAAGAAAAUUUGUAGGGUUUAAAAAUGAUAUUUCCCUCAUUUUCUCUCACUUUAUUUAUAUUUGAAAUUCUUAUCUACUUUCAUUUAAUUUUUAAUUUUUAUAAUUUUGUAAAAUUUAAAAAGAAUUUCAUUUUUGUAAUCAUUUUAUAUAAUCAGAGUUAAAUUGACAAAAAGUAUAAAAAUUGAGGACUAAAAUUAUUAUUAUUCCAACAAAAAAGUGUCACUUAAUAGUCAGGUGACCAAAAAAGUUGUAAACUAUAAAAAUAGUCACCCAACUAUUAAAUUUUCCAAUUAGUUGCUAAACUUUUUGAAAUUAAAUAUUUUAAUCACUCUCCCUUUAGUUGUCGUUAGAUGAGUGACGGAAAGCUGAUGUGGGUUUUUUUUUAUCUAAUAACGAAUUUAACCUCUAAUAUUUACACAUUCUAUCAAUUUGAUCUUAAAUAUAAAAAAUUCAACAAAUUUAGCGCUUUUUACAAAAUUUGUCAUUUUAGUUCGAAUUCUGAAAAAAAAAAUUCAAUAAAGUUAGCCCUUAACAUUUACAAAAUUUGUCUAAUUCUAAUUCUAAAUUUUUAAUAAAAAUAAAAAUAUUUUAAAAAAAAUUAUUUUUAACCCUUUUUACUCACCCUUUGAUUGUGGCACCCACAUAGAAUCUUCGAAGCUAAUAAGCAUAAACCUAAAUUGAAGUUAAAAAGUAAACUAAAAUUGGUGAAAUCACCUUAACUCAAAGAAGAAAAUAAUCGCUGACAUGGUAGCGCCAUGCCAUCGCCCAUUGAUGACAUAUUAACCUUUGAGUUAAACUCAAAUUACUCUUUCUUUUAUUAUAAAUUAAGAGUAUAACUAAUUUUGAUAAGAAUGAUUACUUUUCAUUAACUCAGUUUAAAGGACUAUAACACGUAAAAUUUGGUCUAUUGCAGAAUUCACAUGCAAUGCGGGACAUUUACAUUAUGCAGAAUUCAACACAUAUAUGGGAAUUUUUGUAUUUCCACAAUCAUCAUGUUGUUAGUGAUCAACAACUAUUUCCUUUUUACCAUAUGUUUUUCAUUCAUAAAAUUAAUUCCUUUUUUUUUACCAAAGAAGUAAAAUAAUUAACAUUUCAUGAGAUUACAAAGUCUUCUUCCUUAUAACACGUUAAGUUUGGUCCCAAAUAAUUUUCCACACAAAAGAAUAAAGACUAUCAAUUGUCUAUUGACUUCACACUUGCUGUUGCUUCCUCCUAAAAUUAUCUCAUCGUCAAUGAAGCUACGUGCCUAAAAGCCAUGUAGGAUACCAAUUCCUGUAAUUGUAUUAAUCUCAUCGUUGCUGCAAUCUUUUGACUGUGUAAUCCAAUCUUAAAUAUGUUACUCUGCAAUGCUAUUGUAAAUAUUACUCUUAAAUUAAUAUUUGAACAUCUGCAACAUAAAUGCAUAUGGCAAAAGGGCUCAAACCAUACCUUACGUUCAUAAAUUCUCAUCGCCACGUGUUUAUAAAUGCAACUCAAACUUGAAUAAUUGAAUCUUUUGUAAUUCUACAUGUAUCCUUUUUUAUGGUGAGCAGUACAAUGUUUACUAAAAAUUGAAAUUCAAGAAAGAAGACACACAUAGUUGCACCAUACAAGAUGUUACACUCGAACUAAACCCUUACAAAUAGUACGAAAUGCAAUGAAAUACAGAGGAAUUGGUACAAUCAUAAAAACAGACACAUACCAAUGCAACUUUUCACCAUAGGAAAAACUUUCUGACAGACUACUAAACAAGAAAUUAUGAAGACACAGCACAAAUGCUUUAACUUCAUUUGCACCAACCAGAUCCUUCUUCAUCCACUGAUGCUUUAACUUACUCUGAGUAUUGAUACCCGGGCCGAAGUAUCCAUACCAAAUCCUUUUUACCAUAUAUUUUUCAUUCACAAAAUUGGAUACAUUUUUUUUCCAAAAUUUUGUAUUUCAUUUGAACUCCCUAAACAACUGAGAAAAUUAAGAUUGAUGAGAUUACAAAGUAGAUUGACUUAAUCUUCUUCCUCAUAAUACGUAAACAAUGUGGGUGUCUAUUUACUUAGUAUGUAUGGCUGUCAAGCAAUGUAGANNNNNNNNNNNNNNNNNNNNNNNNNNNNNNNNNNNNNNNNNNNNNNNNNNNNNNNNNNNNNNNNNNNNNNNNNNNNNNNNNNNNNNNNNNNNNNNNNNNNNNNNNNNNNNNNNNNNNNNNNNNNNNNNNNNNNNNNNNNNNNNNNNNNNNNNNNNNNNNNNNNNNNNNNNNNNNNNNNNNNNNNNNNNNNNNNNNNNNNNNNNNNNNNNNNNNNNNNNNNNNNNNNNNNNNNNNNNNNNNNNNNNNNNNNNNNNNNNNNNNNNNNNNNNNNNNNNNNNNNNNNNNNNNNNNNNNNNNNNNNNNNNNNNNNNNNNNNNNNNNNNNNNNNNNNNNNNNNNNNNNNNNNNNNNNNNNNNNNNNNNNNNNNNNNNNNNNNNNNNNNNNNNNNNNNNNNNNNNNNNNNNNNNNNNNNNNNNNNNNNNNNNNNNNNNNNNNNNNNNNNNNNNNNNNNNNNNNNNNNNNNNNNNNNNNNNNNNNNNNNNNNNNNNNNNNNNNNNNNNACUAGAUCUUUCCACUAACUAACCUUAAUGGUAGUAUCCCAUAUCAGUUAUUUGGUGCUUUUGAAAGACUGAUUUAUCUUAAUUUGUCUCACAACUCUUUCACUGGUUCCCUUCCUUCAGAUAUGAGAAAUAUGAAGAAUCUUGUCGAGUUUUACGUUCAUAAUAACAAUUUCCAUGGUGAAAUUCCCAUGACACUUGGGGAGAGUUUAGAACUUACAACUCUCUUCAUGCAAAAAAACUCAUUCCAUGGUACCAUCCCUCAAUCUUUUGCCUCCUUGAGAUCUCUUGAGAACUUAGAUCUUUCAAAUAACAAUUUGUCUGGCACCAUACCACCUGAACUUCAAAAACUUCCUUUUCUAGUGAGAUUAAACCUUUCUUUUAAUCAACUAGAGGGUGAAGUGACAAAAAAGGAGUUUUCAAAAAUGCCACUGGAUUUUCUUUCUUCGGAAAUAAAAACCUUUGUGGGGGAAUUCCAAAAAUACAGCUUCCCAAGUGCUUCAGUGAGAAACCAAAGGAAAAGGGAAAGGUUUUAUCAACCAAAACCGUUAUUGCUAUUAUCACCAGCAUUCUUCUUGGCUCUAUUUUGGUUGUUCUUCUUGUUUAUCAUUCCUUGAGACACAAGGCAAGAAGGGGAACAUUUAUGCCAUCAUCUUUGUUCGACAAUGGCUACUUGCGUUUAUCCUACAAAGAGCUUCUUGAAUGCACCCAUGGUUUUGCUUCCUCUAACUUGAUUGGAACUGGAAGUUUUGGCUCUGUAUAUAAAGGAGUUCUUUAUCAACAUGAAAAGCCUCUUGCUGUCAAGGUACUUAACCUUCGAAACCAUGGGGCUGCAAUAAGUUUCAUUGCAGAAUGCAAGGCUUUAAGGAAAAUUCGACAUUGGAAUCUUCUCAAAAUUAUAACUUCUUGCUCAAGCAUUGAUUAUCAAGGCAAUGAAUUCAAGGCUUUAGUUUUUGAAUUCAUGCCUAAUGGGAGUUUAGAAAGCUGGUUACAUGAGCAACAUGAUCAGUCAAGGUAUUUGAACUUUGCUCAAAGAUUAGACAUUGCUAUUGACAUGGCCAAUGCUAUAGAUUAUCUUCAUCAUGAUUGCGAGACGAUGGUUGUUCAUUGCGAUCUGAAGCCUUCCAAUGUCCUUCUUGACGAUGACAUGGUUGCACACGUCGCCGAUUUUGGAUUGGCAAAGCUCUUGUCUACCGUCACAAGCAAUAUUAGAAGCGAUCAAACAAGUUCCUCAGUGAUCAAGGGAACAAUUGGCUACGUUGCCCCGGGUAAAGUCUCUAACAUCGAAUCAAGGGAGAAACCAAAUGAUUUCUAUUAAAGAUUUUUAAAUUUUUUACGCAAUAUUAUUGCAGAAUAUGGCAUGGGUGGAUCAGUCUCUCCAGAAGGUGAUAUCUAUAGCUACGGCAUUAUGCUUUUAGAAAUGAUAACCGGAAGGAGACCGACAUGUGAUUUGUUUCAUGAUGGCUUAAGCCUUCAUAAUUUCUGCAAAAUGGCACUACAAGAAGGCUUGAAGGAGAUUUUUGAUGUUCGUUUAGUUGAAGAAAUUGGUGUAAACAAGAAGAGAAUAAGAAAUAAGCCAAACAUGGAAUCUGAGAUAUGGGAAUGCUUUGUUUCUUUCACUAAAAUUGGAGUUUCAUGCUCCACUGAAGUGGCUACUGAUAGAUUGAGAAUUAGAGAUGCCAUCAUUGAACUUCAUGCAACCAAAGCAAGGUUGCUUCGAACCGGGUUUUAUAGAAGGGACAAUAAAUAGGUUGCAAAAGCUGGUGAAAUGAAAUAGAGUAGAGUUUUGAAUUUUGCUGGGUGAAUUUGAUUUUGGGUACAACCAAUCCGAAAUGGUCAGUUCAGGUUUUGGAAUUUGUGGGUCAUAGUGAGUUAAUUUUAAAUUUCCAAUGGUUUUCGAUUUGAGUUAGUUUCGUGUUAGUGUGGUUUUUACUUUAAGUUUAAAAUUUUUAAAAAAAUGUUAUUGUUGCGCGGAAGCGUGUAAAAGAGUAAAGUUAUUGUACUAAAAAAUCACACUAAGUUCAAUUCCCAGGAAAGAGAGGUGGAUCACGAGGAUCGCUUAAGUACCAAAUCUUUCCUAGCCAGAAUAUCCCUCUAUAGUAAUUUAAUAGCACAAUAAAUCACUACAAUCACACUCGUAAAGUAUGCAAAAUAAACAAUAAAGAACACAAGAAUUUUAACGAGGUUCAGCAAAUUUUGCCUACGUCCUCAGGCACUACCAAAUAUAUUUCACUCUAAAAUACAAGUGAAAAUUUACAAAUAAGGAGAGAGAAGAAUGCCUUAAGUAGAGAAUGGCAUUUUUGUGGGAUGUAGAAAAUGAGAAAUAGCAAGGCCUAUUUAUAGUUGAAACUCAAGAAUCAACUUGCAAAGUCCCUAUUCAAUUAAGGACCAAAAUUGCAAUUAUCCCAAGCUAAAUUUCAACCCAAAAAUCUAUGCCUUAAAUGCUUAGAUUUUCGGUGCCAAAUUUCUGACACCAUUCAUCUUUGAAAAGUCAAAGAUUGCAUGCUUGCCAAUAAUCUCCACCUUGAAGAUUUGAUUAGGAUAAUCUUAUCUUCACACAAUUCUUUCUGCCUUCGACAACAAUACUUGAUAGUGCCUUCUUCAAUUGUUAAACUUGCAGAAUAUUGAUCAAGUUCGAACAAUGUUCGAACUUGAUUGUUGUUACCACCUUGGUCAUCAUAUCUGCGGGAUUAUCUGCAGUCUUGAUAUUCUGAAGAUGAAUUUUCCCCUCGUCAAUAAUUUCCCGCACAAAAUGGAAACGUACGUCGAUAUGCUUUGUACGUGCAUGAUAGACUUGAUUGUUUGCUAAAUGAAUAGCACUUUGACUAUCACAAUACACGUUAAUAUGCUCCUGAACCAAUCCCAAGGUUUUAACCAUACCUUGUAACCAAAUAGCUUCCUUUACAGCCUCUGUUACAGCCAUGUAUUCGGCUUCUGUGGUUGACAACACAACUGUAGACUGUAGUGUAGACUUCCAACUUAUUAGUCCUCCAGCAAGUGUAAACACAUAACCAGUGGUUGAUCUUCGUUUGUCCAAAUCACCGGCAUAGUCAGAAUCAACGUACCCAAUAACACCUUUACCAAGUGCAGUAUCCUGCUUGAACAAUAAUCCAACAUCCACAGUCUUCAGAAUAUACCAUAGAAUCCAUUUCACAGCUUGCCAAUGUCCUUUCCCAGGAUUAUGCAUAUACCUGCUCACUAUACUAACUGCCUGUGAAAUGUCGAGUCUUGUACACACCAUUGCAUACAUCAAGCUACCCACUGCAUUAGAAUAUAGAACUUGUAACAUGUAUUCUUGUUUCGUAUUCGUCGAAGGAGAUAGUUGUGCAGAAAGCUUAAAAUGAGAAGCCAACGGAGUACUUACAGGUUUUGUCUGCUCGUUCAUGCCAAACUGCUGUAGUACUUUCUUCAAAUACUGCUUCUGAGACAAACUGCUUCUGAGACAAACUAACUCUGCCUUGAGCUCUAUCUCUACAUAUUUCCAUGCCAAGAAUCUUCUUAGCUUCACCAAGAUCUUUCAUCUCAAACUCAAGAUUGAGUUGAGUUUUCAAUCUCUCAAUCUCAACUUUGCUCUUAGAUGCUAUCAGCAUAUCAUCAACAUAUAAGAGCAAGUAUAUGAAAGUUCCUACUUGUAGCUUCUGAAAAUACACGCAAUGAUCAAAUUUACUUCUUGUGUACCUUUGCCCUUUCAUGAACUGAUCAAAUCGCUUGUACCACUGCCUCAGAGAUUGUUUCAAUCCAUAAAGCGACUUUGUCAGUUUGCAAACCCAAUUUUCUUUAUCAGCAACCUUGAAUCCAUCAGGCUGAGUCAUAUAGAUUUCCUCUUCCAAAUCACCGUGUAAAAAAACCGUCUUCACAUCAAGCUGAACUAGUUCAAGGUCAUAUUGCGCAACCAAGGCUAGCAAAAUCCGAAUAGACGAAUGCUUCACAACUGGAGAAAACACUUCAUUGUAGUCUAUUCCUUCUUUCUGAGCGUAACCCUUUGCUACCAAUCUAGCCUUGUAUCGAAUUUCAUUUUUACCAGGAAAUCAUUCCUUCUUUGCAUAUACCCAUUUGCAUCCAAUUGCCUUCUUUCCCUUGGGUAGUGUCACCAACUCUUAAGUCCUAUUUUUAUGAAGAGACUGCAUUUCUUCAUUCAUAGCUUGCUUCCACUUUACACCAUCAGGGUUACUUAUUGCUUCUGUGUAAGUAGAAGGAACAUCAUCAUCUGCAAUUGGAAGUGCAUAGGCCACUAUUUCAUCAAAGCGAGCAGGCUUACGAAUCUCUCUUCUUGGCCUCCUAUAUGCAAUUGAAUCUUGUUGCUGUUGAAGUUCUUGGGUCAAAACUUCUUCAUCAUUUGUUUCUUCAAUAUUAGAUGAAUCAUCAUUAACCUUUUCAAGCUCCACCUGCUGCAAAGUGCCACUGGUUUUGUCAUCCUUUUGUGAAUCCUUGUUCUUCAUCAAAAGUCACAUCUCUACUGAAAAUAAUCUUCCUUGUAUCAGGACACCAGAGACGGUAUCCUUUUACUCCACCAGUUAUACCCAUGAAUAAAGCCUUCUUUGCUCUUGGGUCUAACUUAGAUUCUUUUACAUGAUAAUAUGCAGUGGAACCAAAAACAUGUAAAGAAUCAUAAUCAGUAGCAGGUUUACCAGUCCACAUCUCCGUAGGAGUUUUUCCAUUUAUUGUAGCUGAUGGCAACCGGUUAAUCAGAUGGCACGCAUAUGUAACUGCCUCAGCCCAAAAUUCCUUGCCCAAUCCAGCAUUGGACAACAUACAUCAAACUUUCUCCAGUAUAGUCCGAUUCAUACGUUCUGCCACCCCAUUCUGCUGUGGCGUAUCCCAGACAGUGAAGUGUCACACAAUGCCCUCAUCUCGACAUACUUGAAGAAAUGGGUCAUUUUUGUACUCAGUACCAUUAUCUGAUCGAAGUCGUUUGACCUUUCGACCAGUCUGAAUCUCCACCAUCUUCUUCCACUUCAGAAAUGUAUCCAAAACUUCACUUUUUAUUUUCAUUAGAUACACCCAUACUUUUCUUGAAUAAUCAUCAACAAAAGUAACCAAAUAGUGCAUACCUCCCAAAGAAGCCACUUUGGUAGGUCCCCACACGUCACUGUGAACGUAGUCCAGAAUUCCUUUCGUACUGUGAAUUGCUGAACCAAAUUUUACCCUCGUCUGCUUGCCCAGAACACAAUGCUCACAGAAUUCCAAUUUGCAAGAAUUUACACCUUUCAAUGAGCCUUGCUUCGCCAAAGUCUGCAAAGCUUUUUCACCAGCAUGUCCCAAUCGCCUAUGCCAUAACCUGGUAGCCUCUGAAUAUGCAUCUUUCACAGAAGCUGUUGAUGUUGAUCCAAUAACUAUACUUCCAUUUAAAUAGUACAAGUUAUUUCUUCUAGUGCCUUUUAUCACCGUCAAUACCCCAGCUACAACCUUUAGUAAUCCAUCUCUCAAAGUGAUUGUGAGCCCUUUAAAUUCUAGGGCCCCUAAUGAGAUGAGAUUUUUCUUCAAGCUAGGUACAUAGUGAAAAUCUGUCAAGACUUGGAUUGAGCCAUCGUGAUUCUUCAAUUUGAUUGUACCUACUCCCAUUGUCUUACAAGCACUGUCAUUGCCCAUGAAAACAACUCCACAUUCUAGUUCUUCAAGACUAGAAAACCAGUCCUUAUUAGGACACAUAUGGUAAGUACAUCCCGAAUCCAAAAUCCACUCAUCCGUAUGACAUGUAAUUGCCAUGCCAACCAAGCUAAAGUCUGACUCCUCAUCAUGCUCCGCUACACAUGCAUCAGAAAUAGCCUUGCCCUUUUGUAACUUAGGACAAUUCUUUUUCCAAUACCCUUUCUCACGACAAAAAGCACAUUCAUCUUUGGCGGGUCUCCCUUUGGACUUGCCCCUUCUACCAGGUUUGUUGCUCUGUGAACGACCUCUUACUGUUAAGACUUCUGCAGUUGUAUCUCUGUGAUCUCUUUUAUCUUUCUUUCGAGUCUCAGAUCUGUACAACGCACUGCAGACUGCAUCAAAUGUGAUCGUAUCCUUCCCAUGAAGCAAUGUGGUGGUAAGAUGAUCAUAUUCAUCGGGAAGAGAAUUCAACAACAAUAAUGCCUUGUCUUCAUCUUCAAACUUCUCAUCCAAAUUUAGCAAGUCUGCUAAAAUUUUAUUGAAUGAGUUCACAUAGUCAUUCAUCGACAUACCGGGUGCAUACGUGAACCGAAAAAGUUUCUUUUUCAUAUAAAGCCUAUUUUCAAGACUUUUCAUUAGAAACUUUUCUUCCAACGUAUCCCACAACUUCUUCGCUGAUGUCUCCCUCAUGACAGAGUACUUCUGCUCUUUGGCCAAACAUAGGCGGAUUGUACCACACGUCUGUCUAUUGAUCUUGGCCCACUCCUUGUCAUCCAUCUUGUCAGGUUUUUCUUCAAGAGCUAUAUCCAACUCUUGCUGACAUAAGACAUCCAGGAUCUCACAUUGCCACAUACCAAAAUUAUUGGUACCAUCAAAUUUCUCUACUUCAAAUUUUGCAUUGGUCACGGUAGUCUUUGUUGAUGACGACGCCUCUGCCAUUCUUCUCCUCGAUCCCAACUACUGUAUACGUGAACAGUACCGUCGAUGUGAAUAGUACUGUGGAUGAACAAUACCGUAUACGUAAAUAGUAUCGUAAACAGUCGUAUUCCCCAAGUACGAAUCUAGCUCGGAUACCAAUUGUUGCGCGGAAGCGUGUAAAAGAGUAAAAUUAUUGUACUAAAAAAUAACACUAAGUUCAAUUCCCAGGAAAGAGAGGUGGAUCACGAGGAUCGCUUAAGUACCAAAUCUUUCCUAGCCAGAAUAUCCCUCUAUAGUAAUUUAAUAGCACAAUAAAUCACUACAAUCACACUCGCAAAAUACGCAAAAUAAACAAUAAAGAACACAAGAAUUUUAACGAGGUUCAGCAAAUUUUGCCUACGUCCUCGGGCACUACCAAAUAUAUUUCACUCCAAAAUACAAGUGAAAAUUUACAAAAAAGGAGAGAGAAGAAUGCCUUAAGUAGAGAAUGGCAUUUUUGUGGGAUGUAGAAAAUGAGAAAUAGCAAGGCCUAUUUAUAGUUGAAGCUCAAGGAUCAACUUGCAAAGUCCCUAUUCAAUUAAGGACCAAAAUUGCAAUUAUCCCAAGCUAAAUUUCAACCCAAAAAUCUAUGCCUUAAAUGCUUAGAUUUUCGAUGCCAAAUUUCUGACACCAUUCAUCUUUGAAAAGUCAAAGAUUGCAUGCUUGCCAAUAGUUAUUCAAUGCUUUGCCUUCACUAUGUAUUAAUAAUUGAGAUAUUUCAACUUUACCCUGCAUUUUCUCAAACCAUUCAACUACUAUUCUAAUCUUCAAAAACAAAAGCAUUGCAACUCCUCCAUAAAAACUAGCAAACAAUAGGAAACAAGGAGCACCAAUUGGUUCCCUCAAUUAUGAAAUCUCCACUGUUGUUUAAGUUCCACGUUAGCCAUUCCUUUAAUUGUAUUGUGAAGAACGUGGAACUCUCCACAUUUUGAACAAUUGUCUUCCAUAUGUUUUGAACAAUUGUCUUCCAUAUUCUAACUUUUUCUUGUUUUGGCUUCUCAUUUUUAUUUGUUGUCUAUUUUUACUUCUUUUGAAUCAAUUAUUUUUUGUUUAAAUUGAUUCUUCUCUAUUUUGAACCGAUUGUUUUUUUAUUUGAAUUGAUUCAUCUUGGUUUAAAUCGAUUCUUUGUGGAUUAACUCAAUUCAAAUCUCAACUAAUGGUAUCGAAAGCCUGUCAUAUUUGAGGGCCUUUGUUCUUUGUUGUUUGUAAAGAAAGAAGGAAAGAAAGAGAAGUUGUUUUGUUGUUGUAAAACAUGAGUUUUUCACCACCACUUGUAUUUGGUGGUGAAAACUAUCAUAUAUGAGUAGUGAAAAUGAAGAUAUAUCUGCAAACUCAUGAUUUGUGGGAUGUGACUGAGACAGAUAGAGAGUCACCUCUAUUGAGAGCUAAUUGCUCAAAUUAGACAAUAUAGUAAUGAUUGGCGUAAUAUUUCAAAAUAGUCACCAUCGUUAAAAUUCUUGUACGAAAUUCACUGAUAUGAAAUUUUGAAAUAAAAAGAAAUUACACUUGGUAGUCAUGUAAUAAUAAAAAUAAUGUUGAAUCAAAUUAUGAAAGUAGAUGAAUCAAAUUAAAUAACAAAACUAAAGUAUAUAGAUUAAAUCUUAAGUUUUAACAUAGUAGAAGGUCAAAAUUGAAAUUUGAACAUUAAAAAAAAAAAGGCAACUCCUACCCUCAAAAAAUAUGUCACGUUGGGUAGUUAAUAACAUUAAAAAUUAGAGGGGCUAAAUUAUAUUAAAAAUUAAAAUAUAUAGAUUAAAUUUUAAAUUUAAACGUAUCAAAAGGACCUAAAUUAAAACUUAACCUUUUUUAUGAAUUGCAAAAACAAAAAAGCGGGUGGGGGAGAAAGGGAACAUGCGGGUGGGUUGUUAGAACAAUUGUUUAGUAACAAGGAAAGCACUUAGUGUGUGUUUGAUGAGGUGGAAAAUAAAACAAAUUUUCAGGAUGUUUGGUUGAGAAAAAAAAAAGAGAAUUAAUUAUUUUUUAUUUUAAUGCAUAAAAAUUAAUUCUUUAAAAUUGAAAUGAUGAAUAGAGAGAAAAUGAGAGCAAUGAUGGAUCAUGGUAUCGAGUUUGGAGGAUAGUACAUUUAAAAAAAAGGAAUUUAAUGAGAAUAAAAAAAAUUGGGUGACUAAUUAAAAUUUUAAAAUUUUUUGUGAGAUUAAUGAAAAUUUUCAAAAAAAAAAUUAAGAGAGUUUAAUUAAAAUUUUUAAAAAUAUAUAAUUAAAAGGUAUAAUGUGAAUUUUAAAAAUUUGAGGGGUUUAAUUAAAAUUUUUAAAAAAUUUUGAUGAGUGCUUAAUUUCUCUAAUAUUUCUCCUAUUGAAUUAUGCUAUUUAUGUUCUUAAAUCUUAUUUAUACUUAAACUUUAUUUAUUAUGUAUUUAGGGAAUAAUCGGAGAAAAGUGAUGUUAAAGUUUAUUUUUAAAAAGUUUUCUGCGAUUUAGAUUUUUAAUAGAAUGUAGCUUGAGUAUUUUUGACAUAACUUGAGCUGUAGACUUCUAUUUUGGACCCAUAAUAUGCUGAUUCGAAGGAAAUUGAAAGAUCUAGGUAAAGUUCUUUAUGGAAGAAGCCGAAAAACAUCAAGAAGGAACCUAAAAAUGGCCUGAAAGUUUGACAUGAAAAUUACCAAACAAUCUAGAAGAAUUCUGUUUUAUUUAAUAAGGGCAUUUUUGUAUUUUCUCCAUUAUAUUAUUUUUUUUCCCUAUAACUAUACAAUCUUAAGUUAAGAUUUGGGGGACUUAGACUUAGUCAUUCUUAAUUUUUUUUUAUUUUAUUUUAUGAGUUUCUAAACCCACUUUUCUAGUCAAAGGUUAUAUCAAAGUUUGGAGAUAUAAGUUCAAACCUUGGAGACAACAUUAUUGGGAGGGGCAACCAUGAACCCCAAAUAUGGACCAUAAAAUGGACAUGAAGAAUAACAAAAAAAAAAGGUUUGACUUAAUAAAUUCGUGAGACUUAUUUGUGUUUUAAUUCUUCUUUGUUCUUUAGUAUUCAUGCAUCUUUAGUUUUAAUUUCAAUUGCUCAAGUUUAUUGAAUGUCCAACCAGUAUUUGAUAGCUUACAAUGAUUGUCGAGUCAAUUUGGAUAAUUAAAUUCUAAUUUUAUCUAAUACCAGUGACAAAUUGUAUAACUCGUUUAUAUCAUAGUUUACGUUUAUGUAGUGUGGAUGUGUGAUAUAGCUUAAAUAAACUCUAUUGAGGUGAGUUUGUUGGUUAGAAUUAUGUCUCUCUCAUUCUUAAUGCUAUCGGUAGGUUAAGCUUUAGGCGUUGAGUUACAAGAUUAUUUAUUAGUUAGAGAAGUAAUUUCAAAUGAGCUGCCUCUUAGAUAUCGAAUAGGGUAAGGAGAAAUUAGUUGUUCGACACUGAGUCAACAUCUGACACUUAGUUAACCUUUGACUAGACCUUUUUCCCAUUGGUUUUUCUAAAACUUUUAAUUAAUUGUUACUUUCAAUUGAAGCCUUAAAUUUAAAUUUAGUUUUUGAUUUAAUAAAAUCCCCUUCCAUUUUACUUUUAUUGUUUUGUUUGAAGAAAUAAAUUUAUUAUCAACCUCUAUGGAUGUUGCUUUCUACUAAUCUCAUACUUUUAGGUAGGUUUUUAUUUUUGUAGGUCUUGACAGCCUAACAAAUUUUAAGGGAGAAAUUAAAAUUUCCCAAAUUUAUUUUGGCUAUCACAACGGUCUGCCUCAGAACAAAUGAAAGAUUUAUAUGUUAGUUCAAAAUUAUAUAUUUUUCAAAUAUUUUAUUUUCUUUACUUUCAAUUUUUUACUUUACCAACCACACCUAUAAAAAAAAAUUAUGUUAUCCUUUUAAAUUUUUACUCCAAAUUUUCAAUUUUCUUUCCACUCUACCAAACAAAAUCUUAAAGCUACCCUAGGUUCUGCACAAUAUGGAGGAUGGAAAAGAAUGACAUAAUUUGCGAUUGUUCAAAUACAUGAGCAACGUAUAACUAAGAGAAAUAGAAGCUUAAUUUAGUAAAAGCAGAACCAAACAUAAGAUCACACACAAAUAUGCUUUGUUAAUUAAAAUCAGAAGCAGCACAAGAAUCAUGGCGUGCGGUCAUUCUAUGCAUUCUCGCUUGAACUGUAGAAGGGAUAUUAUGUUUUUACGUUAAACCAAGCAUUAAACAAUAAUAUGAAUAAAGUCUAUACCAUCCAGCAGCAGUUUGCAACACAGUCCAUCAGUCAUAGAACAAGCACUUCAGAGCAAGGCUCAAAAACCUCUCAUUGAUUAGAAACAACAAUAGUUAAAUCACAGUUAACAUUUAAGUAUGGCUAAGAAAUCAAGAACAGAGCCAUGUUAUUUGCUUGAUUUACAUAGCCCACUUAUUCAUUACCUGUCAGCAAGCACAUAACCUUGCAAAUAAUCAAUAAAGAAUAAUAUUUUCUCAAGUUUCAUUAACUUGCUUUAGUUUUUUCAGACCUUCAACAUUUCCAACAAAAGUUCAGACAACUGCCUGAGAACAAUCCCAAUUCCAUAGCCAUUAAUCCUAACUCUUGUAAGAUCGCAGAAGUUUUAAUCUAAGCAAAACAAGAAAUUCCAGCUCACAAAAAAAUUGUACAAUAUCCUUUGCCCUGUGUGUGGAAACUGCUUACUUCAAAGCAUCAACAAUUAAUACAUAACCUUGGCCUUCUAACCCAGGUUUUCUACUCUUGAAUCUGCCAAGCCAACAAAUAAAAAAAUAAAAAAACAAGUUAAAAGAUAUCCUCACAAGUCAUAACCUGUCUACAAAACAAAGUCACAAUAAGCCUAUCAUAUUGUCCACUGUGCAAAGCUAACAACUAUUCUAUUAUAAGGAUUUGAUGAAUUACUAAAAAAAAUAAAAUAAAGUCAAAUUAGAAUAAAAUUAACAUUUAUUAUUUCAAUUUAAAAAAAAUCAUUUAUUAUUUCAAAAAUAAAUCAAUUUAAUUUUUGUAUUAUUAAAAAGAAUAGAACAAAGUCAAAUUAGAAUAAAAUUAACAUUUAUUAUUUCAAUAUAAAAAAAACAUUUGUUGAAUAGGUAAUUUUGGACGCAUACUAUAUACAUUCCAUUCUCAUCAUGGGGAAAUAAUUUUGGAAGUUUUUCCAAUGUUAGGGUUGUCGAUAAACAUUUAUCAGUAAUAUGAUUCCACAACACUUAGUCAUAGUUUCCAAGGUCCGAAUUAAUGAGUUAAAAGCAUCUUGGAGGCUCCUAUACUAAGAGUUAGACUGCAUUUUGCCUCCUUUAAUCAAAAAAUGAGCAAACUAGUCCUUGAACAUUAUAUUAAAGAGAAAAUUGGUCCUUUUUGUUAAAAAAUUCAUCCAUUUGUACUGUUAAAAACUAGUGUGAUUGAAGAAAUAACUAGACAAUAACAUGUGACGUGCUAUGUGUACCUCAUGUUAACAUUCAGGGACCAAUUUUUAAUGGUAGAAAUGGAAGAAAUUUUUAAUAGAAUCGACAACCAUGUUUUUACCUGCAUUUAGUUGAUAUAUUGAAAAUCUUCAUUUUCCAUUUUGCAUUCAUGUCCCGUUUGGGUAUGGAUAUAAAAAUAUGGUACUCCAAAUAUAUGAAAAAACCUUUAAAAAAUUAAAUAAACUCGUGUUAGACACAAAUUAUAUCAGACAUUUGAUCAAAAAAAUCUUAGCAACAUAGGCCUCCACCUAUUGAUUUAUGUAACAUGGCUUUGAAAGAUGCCCUAAAAUCAUCCGUUCUUUCAUGUAACGUGUGGCAGUUGACUCCCAACCCACCUCCAGUUCCAAUUUAUUUUCUUGCUGAAAAUUGGAUUUCGGAUCGCAUCUUGCUCAACCGAUUGGGGUGUCUUUAAAAAACAAUUGAAGAAAAAUUAAAACUGAAAUUUUAAUCUCAUGUCAUCAAGGAAAAAUAAGAAACACAUAUAUUCUUUAUAAAAUUUUUGCAUGUUAUGCCUUUUUGUUGUAAUUGUUGUAACUACUUAGAAUAAAGUAGGAUUAAAGGGUUGUAGGAUCGAUACCUUUGUUUUGCAAUGCACAAAUUCCUGUGAAUCAAUGAAGAAACCAGUUGUCAACUUAGGGCAAUCUCUUUCUGUCAAAACUCUCAAUGCUGACAAUACAGAAUGAUAUCUUUUGGGAUAGAAGUGAAUGAGGCCUGGUAGUUCUUCAAGUGAUAACCAUUCUAAUUUAUCAAAAUUCAUCUCCUUUUCAGCUGUCACUUCCACUUCAUCUUCUAAUUCGAAUACUUCUUCCAAUUUAGAGUUCAUUUUCAAUUUCAAACAUUCAAGUUUUGGAAGAACAUGAACAUAUCCAAAAGGAAAGGCUUUUCAAAUUUCUACAAUUUCUAACUGUGAUAUUAGUCAAAUUUGGAAAGCUUAUAGGUUGGAGGCCAGUAUCACCAUUUGAUGAUGAUGAUGAAGAAACUUGGUCCUUGGCUAAAAUGAGUCGUUCUAUUUCCUCACACCCCUCGAUGAAAAGAUUCACCAAAUGCGAUAAACUGUGAGCCGUUGUAGGUGAAAAUAUAUAUCCUAACUUCUUGCAAUCCCUCAACUUUAGAGUUGUAAGGUUCUCAAGGGUUACAACUUGAGCAAAAUCAUUCCAUAUAAUCUGCACUUCAAAUAAAUUAUUCAAGUCCAAUUCUUUUAUCCUUGAGAACGAGUACCCACCUUGAACUUGAAAUACUUCUUCAUGAUUCCCAACUACUAUACAAUCUUCAUUCAAUACAUACAGAAAUCCCAACAAAUGUCUUAAAAACACACUAGAGUAAAUGUUACCCAUAAGUGUUCAUAUUUUACAUGUUCCAAGUAAUAAUGUAUACUACUUCUCCAAUUUCAUUACCACAUGUAUCUUUUGUUUUUUUUAAAGGAUAUAUUUUAAAAUUUAAACCCCUAAAAUUUCAACCAAAUUAUUUACACAUGAGAGGCAAAUGCUUGAUUUUACAUUUUUAUUUAAAGAGUGAACAAUGGGACUCGCGUGCAAAUUAAGUAUAAAAGGGGAAUGAAUUAUCGCAUGAAUUAAGCAAAGCAAUAUAUUGAUUUACUAGUUUGCUACAGUAUCAAAAUCCAUAUAUAAAAUGCAAACAAUCUAAAUAAUACCUCCAGGAGCCGAGCUUGUACAAUGAAGCAUGAGAAUAUUGGGCAAUCCAUUAUUUGAAGAGUUUUCAAUUUUGCCCAGUAAUAAUUCUGCAUGAAUGAACCACACAUUUAGAUAUUAUACAAAAUAUAUUUAUCAUUUAUAUAACAAUUAAUACAGAAGUACCUGUGAUCUAAAUUCCGGAAGCACAAUAUCUUGCCCAUUCUCAUUUUGCUCCAUGUUGAAUAUUUGCAUAAAUUGAGGACAAUGACUUAUGUGAAGAAAUUCCAAGGAUUGAAGCCCUUGAGUCGAAGUGCUUACACAAACAUAUUUCAAACUUUUGCAGGACUGUAUGUGAAGAAUUCUCAAUUUCGGCCAGUAACAAAGACCACAAUCAUUUUGCGUAUUUCAAACACACAUAUUAGGAAGUUAUUUAUUUUUAAUAAUUUUUUAAUAUUAUAAAAAAAUUGAGCAUAUCAAUAUAAAAAUUUUAAAUAUAUUGAUCAUUAUAUUGUAUUUUCAAGGUAUUUUCACUAAUGUAAAAUAUUUGUUAUUAUAUUAUAAAAAAAUGCUAUAAAAAAGCAAAAAAUAGUUAAGUAGAUUAACAAAAUGACUUCUAUAGGUAGUUUCACAAACCUUCUCAAAAUCACUUUGGCUCGAUAAUUUCUCUCCAACAGCAACAGGAGUUUUAGUUGCCUUAUUGUUUUGCAUGGAGAACUUGGUCAGAAUCUUUGUGGCAAAGCUUUUCUGACUUAGGAAUAUCCCAUUCUGUGUUUGUGAUACCUCCAUUCCAAGAAAAUAGGACAUCUCACCUAGAUCAGACAUUUCAAACACUUCCUGCAUGUUGGUCUUGAAAUUGACCAGCACUGUUCGAUCUCCUCCUGUUACCAGCAGGUCAUCAACAUACAGGGACACAAUGAGCUGUGUUUGUGCCCCUUCCUUCUUAACAUACAGUGUUGGCUCACUCUUGCUUCGAUCAAAUCCCAAACUAAUCAAAUAGCCAUCGAUUCUGCUAUACCAGAACCUUGGGGCCUGUUUCAAGCCAUAUAGGGCCUUCUUCAGUUUAUAGACCAUGUGCUCUCUGCCAGCUAUCUCAAACCCUUGUGGUUGUUCAACAUAGAUGUCUUCAUCUAAGAAGCCAUUCAGAAAAGCUGACUUCACAUCGAGUUGAUGGAUCUUCCAUUCGAGCUGUGCUACUAAGGCAAUCAACAGUCUGAUGGUGUCGAGCCUGGCCACUGGUGCAAAGGUCUCCAAGAAGUCCAGGCCAUAUUUCUGACUGAACCCCUUGACAACUAACCUUGCUUUCAGUUUGUUCAAGGUUCCAUCAGCAUUCUGCUUGGCUUUGUACACCCAUUUCACUCCAAUAACCUUCCUUUUGACUGGCUUUUCAACUAACUCCCAAGUCUGGUUCUUCUCAAUCAUGCUGAUCUCCUCAGCCAUUGCCUACUUCCACCCUUGCUGAGCUUUAGUCUCUUCAAAGUUGCAUGGUUCAACUAUGGUUACAUGAGCCCUUUCAUAAAUCUCAGUCAAUGGUCUUGUUCCCCUGACUGGUUCAUCAUCAAUGUCCAUUUAAGGAACAUUUUGGUCUGGCUCAGCUUGAUCUGCUGCAAGUUCUUUUGAAACUUCCCCAGGUUCAUGUCUUUCCUAGUUCCAACAUGACCUUUCAUCGAAUACCAUAUCCCUGCUGACUGACACUUUAUUUGUUAAAGGAUCCAAGAUCCUAUAGCCCUUCUUGACAGUGCUGUAGCCCACCAGAACACUAGGUCGAGCCCUUUCAGACAACUUUUCCAUUUUAACAGCAGUUACAUGUACAUAACAGAUACAUCCAAAGACCUUCAGAUGAGCCAGUGAUGGCUUGAAUCCAAACCAAGCCUCAAAUGGAGUCUUCUGAUCCAAAGCCUUGGUUGGGAGUCUGUUUUGAAUGUAGGUUGCAGUGUUAACUGCUUCUGCCCAUAGAGCUUUAGGCAGAUUCUUCUGAAUCAUCAAGCACUUGGCCAUAUCCAUCAGGCUCCUAUUCUUUCUUUCACUUACACCAUUUUGCUGAGGUGUAUAAGUGUUGGUAAGCUGAUUUUUGAUGCCUGCCUUAUCAUAGAAGGCUUAGAACUGAGCUGAGGCGUACUCAGUCCCAUUAUCAGACCUUAUGGUCUUCAGCUUGCAGCCUGUUUCAGUCUCAGCAGCAGUUUUGAACUUCCAAAAACAUAGAGGCCACCUAUGAUUUCUGUUUCAAGAAGUAAAGCCAACAAUAUCUCAAGAAAUCAUCAAUAAACAGUAUGAAAUACCUGUUUCCACUUAAUGACUCAGUCUUCAUGGGGCCACACACAUCAGUGUGCACCAGUUGAAGUUUUUCAGAGGCUCUCCAAGCUUGAUUCGAGGGAAAUGGGAGUCUGGCCUGCUUUCCUAGCUGACAUACUUCACAUACAUCAUCAUGCUCCACUGAGUUGAUAGAGUUCUCAGCCAAGACCUCUCUGACCAUUCGAGCCAUCGAUCUGAAGUUGGCAUGUCCAAGCCUUUGAUGCCAAAGCUAAGAUUCAUUUGAUGUGGAUGUGUAGGCAAUGUCUGACUCCUUUGUUCAGUCAACUACAAAGCUCUUAUCAGCCAUAGGGACUGACAUUAGCUUGGAUCCACUUGGAUCACUGAUUUGGCACUGGUUGUCUUUGAACACAACAGAAUAACCUUUCUCCAGCAAUUGAGCUAUGCUGAGCAGGUUUCUGUCAAUUUCAGGCACCAAGAGCACAUUUGAAAUCACUUUGGCACCUGUGAGAGUGCAUAUCAGCACAUCACCCUUGCCUUCAGCUUUUAUAAAGUGGCCAUUGCCUAUUUUAACUUUGGUUCUGCAGCUUCUGUCUAAGAACUUGAAGAUAGCAGCAUCAGGUGUCAUAUGGUUGUAACAUCCACUGUCUAGAAGCCAACCAGAUGGAAUUCUUUGUUGAGCACCUGAGCAUGACACAACAAAGACUUGCUCCUCUUGAUCACUGUCUUCUUUGGCCACUCGAGCUUCUGCCUUCACUUGUUGGGAAUGAUUCUGCCUUGGUUUACCCAUGCUUUUGCAGACUCUUUCAACAUGACCAUUUCUUUUGCAAUGCUGGCAUACAACAUCUGGAUUGAACCACCAUUUUUCUUCUGGAUGACCAACCCUUUUACAGUGCUUACAAGUCUAACCCUCUUUUCUUGCAGCAUCAUACCUUGUCUUGUCUCUCCAGGCCUUCUUGGCUUUGUAGGCAGUUUUUGUCCUUGCCUGAAAGGCACCUUCUUUGUGCUUCUCCAGUCUGCUUGCUCUUCUCUGCUCUUGAGCAUAUAGAGCAUUGAUGAACUCUGUCAGGGAGGUGCUGGACAAGUCCCUUGAGUCUCCGAGAGAUGAGAUUUUUGCCUCAUACCUUUCAGGCAAAUUUGCAAUAACCUUCUCCACUAUCCUAGCUUCAUUGAACUGCUCUCCAAGGAGCCUAAUGCUGUUAACCACAGCCAUAAUCCUGUCAAAGUAUUGCUUGAUAGUUUCUUCUUCCUCCAUAUUCAAAUUCUCGAAUUCUCUCCUCAGGUUCAACAACUGUUGCUGCCUUGUCCUCUCUGUCCCAUGAAACUCCUCUUGCAACUUGUCCCAGGCCUGCUUUGGUGAUUCACAUGCCAUAAUCCUUGUGAAAAUCACAUCUGACACUGAGUUCUGGAUGCAAGACAUAGCCUUGUGCCUCUUGGUCCUCUCAUCAGCAUGCUACCUGAUCUGAGCCACUGUUGGAUUGGCUCUAAGUGGUUCUGGUUCAACAUCAGAGUUGACCACCUCCCACUGAUCGAAAGCCUGCAGGUAGGUCUUCAUUUUGACCACCCAUAUGUGAUAGCCUUCUCCAUUGAAGACUUGAGGUGCAGCUGGGGAAAAGUUUGAUGAAGCCAUCCUUAAACAGUAGGUCCCUUAAGAAACAGGCUCUAGAUACCAAUUGUUGGUGGAAUAACAGAAAUUAACAUACUCAGCUAGUGUCUUGUGCAACAAGCCUCGAUGCUUGCUGAGCAAACAAACAAAUUUGAGCCAAAGAAAGAAGAAAAGCUAAGGAAAAAUGGAGAGUAUUUGAUGAACAAAAUCUGAUUCAUUCAUUGAAUAAACAAUGGCAUGAUGCCAAUACAUAAAUCAAGCACUAAGCUUGUAAAAAAUAGCAAGUAAUCACCUAAACAUUACCUACCUCCACUAAUUACAUAGAAAAUUGAAAUUUUAGCUUGUAAACCUAUACAAAGCUGUGUUUACAGCUCAUAUACAAGCUAAUUACAUCAAUCAAAUACUUAACUUAGUUAGACUAAGACUCAUUUCAUGAACUAAAGUUUACAAAAUGAACAAAAUAAGCUUGCAUCAGCACCUCCUGCAUGGCUUGGUCUUCAUGCUGUCGAGUGUUGGCUGCAUGCUGACCAACUUCAUCAUUGUGAAAUUUGAUUAGUAGAAAGUAUCACUGAUAAUGCAGUUAAACGAGACAAUGAAUUCAACUCCAAUAAACUGAUAUUGCUUUUGCUUAUGACAUGUAACUCUUGCAGUGAAGUCAACCUAUUAUUUUCAUAAAAAAAUAGCAUUAAUUAAGACACAAUACACAUGAGAUGAAUAUGAAAUAUUAAAGAUGAAACUGGCCAAAAUUGUGAAAAAAAUUCAAACAUUCAUAAAAGUUUAUAAAUCAUUAAUGAUUUUUAGUUUUAUAAUAUUUUAAAUAUUUAUUUAUUUUAUUAAAUGAUAAAAGUGACGCAUUAUAGUUAGUUGGUGGUGUAUGAAAUUCAUACAUUGAUGAUGUAUCAAAUAUUAUCUCAUAUAUAUGUAUUAACUCUAAAUUUACAAAAAGCUCUUAAAAAAUCUAAAACUACAAAUAGUACCCUAUUUUUGAAAAAAUAUUUAUCCAAUUAUUUAUUUUUAAUUUAAAUAAAUUAUUAAUAAAAUAUUAUACCAUUAAAAUUAGAGGACUUAUUAAAUUAAAAUUUCUUAAUUGAUUUCUUCUUCAACUCCAACACUAGAAAGACGUAAAUAUUUCAGUGUAGACAAUUUCACUAAUUCUUCACUUAUCUCAUCAAUUUUAGUGCCAAUCAAUGCAAGAAUCUCAAGGCUUCUCAUAUUUUUCAGUGAUGAUGAGAAGUUUUCCAGCUCGCAAUCCACACAACACAAAGUUUUAAGAUUUGGUAAGGAAUGGAAUCCUAUGGGUGAGAAACUGACACUUUCUAGAUAUAGAACUUGGAGGACUUUCAUUUCUUCAAAAAAUAUACUGGAAACCACUAGUAAAUCACCUCGCUUCCGCUUCCGCUUCUGCCUCAAGUCCCAUCUCCAAUCGCAAUCCCAAUCCCCCUCUAAAAUCAAAGUCAUGAGCUUUGAAAAUUCCACUUUAUCAGGAAAUUUUUUUAUGUUACUACUACAAUUCCAUAAAGCGAUUGCACCAUAACAUCCAUCCAUAUCGGGCCAUUCUUUCAGCUCAUCUUUUACCAUGAACCUUUUUUCUCCGGUUGAUGUUAGCCAAUGAGCAAAAUCUCGAAUCACAUCAUGCAUUCUUAUCCUUUCUGCAUCAUCAGUUCCCAAUAUCAAGCCUGAUUUUUGGAGUUUUUUAAGUGCCAUAACAAUUUCAUUCCUUUUAUCUUCAAUCGAGAAAGCAUUAGGGAACAAUCCUACUCCAAUUCCACACAUAAUCAAUAUCUUAAGAGAGAUUUCAUAAUCUUCAGGAAAAAGGGAACACAGUAAGAAACACAUUUGGAUGUCAUUUCCCGUCAUUUGGCUAUUGCCUUCCUUCAAAUAAUCGUAGGUAAGCUUAAGAGGCUUGGGGACACCUCCGAGAACUUUUUCAUUAUCCAAAUGUCUUGAUUCCUUGAAUCUCUGAUUUACGGUUGUCCACCCAUUUAAACUCUCACCUUUCAAAGCUUUGGCCACGAAAACAAUUGCAAGAGGCAAUCCCUUACAUUGAGCAGCAACCUCUUUGGCUACAUCAUUCAAGGUGGAACUGUCAUCAUCUAAACCAGUUUUACCUCGAAAUAAAACCCAUGCUUCGUCUUCGGAUAAGAUGCCAAGUUGAAUUUCCUUCUUACAGUUCAUUUUAGUGCAGAAUUGUUGAUCACGUGUAGUCAGAAGAAUUUUACAACCCUUGUGUUCAUCACCGAAUGGAAUUCUGAUACUCUCCAAUUUCAAUUCUUCCCAGAGGUCGUCGACAAUUACGAGGAUUUUGUUCACGCCUUGCAUACUUCUGAAUGGCACUUCUACUUUUCCUUCUCGGCUACUUGUUUCAAAAUUUAAACAAAAAAAUCUGCAACUUUAUCUUGGAUUUUGUUGAUGUUUGGAUUUUGGGACAUAGUAAACAUCACAAAUUUAUCAAAGAGCUUUUGUUCUCGAGCAUGCUUCCCAACUUCUUGGGCUAAAGUUGUUUUACCAACUUCUGGCAUUCCGUGCAGUCCGAUCAUGUUGACACCCUUAGCGUUUAUAGCCUCCAUCAUCUGGUUCAAAGCUGAUUUUGAAGAUUCAGAGUCCAUGAAAUCCGUGGAUGUGAUGAACUCUAUUCCUUGAAGAGAAUCACAAUAGCCCACCUGUGGGAAGUUAGAAGCCUCUAAAAGUUUAGAGAUAAUAGGAUUCUUCUCUGCAAGUUUCUUACUUAAGCAGUAUCGCCAGCCCCAUUUAGGACACCAUUUGAAACACUUGACGCUAUCUAUUUCAUCUUCCAAGUUCUGGGUUUCUUCCAGUUCUUUCUCAGCACUUCUAAGCCAGUCCUCAACGUCCUCAUAAAUGACCUCAAUUUUCCUUUUAGCCUCAUCGACACGAGUUUUCACCAUCUGUUUCCUCAAUUUAAGUGCCUUCCGUUGAUUCGUGAAAUCUUCAAUGAUCUCUCCAUAACCGAAAAAGUAACGGAGAUAAGGUAAUGUGCAUUUCUUUGCCUUGUUUGUCACAUUUUCGACAGUAGUAGAGGCAACAUAUUCGGCCAUUUUUGUUGAUUGUCUGAUGAGGAUGAACAAAAAACUCUGGUUAUUAGUUAGAAGAUCAACAUAAAGACAAAUAAAAGUAAUUAUGACAAAUAAAAUCAGUAUUUGUAGUGGAUUCCGAGUAGUAAAAAAUCGAAUGGAAGCUACCAAUUAAGAAGCUAUAAUUAUUCUUCUAAACCAAAGAUAUUAUUAUUGAAGAAGCUAGACAUUACUCUUGAACUUACCUCUAUUUCUCUCUGUGAAUACCAGGAAGUAAAUAGAGCUUGAGAGAAAUAAAUAACUGUAAAAGAUCAAAAGUGUUGAUUUAGUGCAGGUAAUAGAAAAUUGAGAAGGCCAAUAAAUAAAAUGGAGAUCCACUCAAAUGCAAACUAAAUGGCAUUCAAAAAAUGAUGAAAAUAUAUAGCAAGGAAGAUGAGGAGCAAUUCCUCAAAACUUACCUUCACUGAACUAUCCUCUGCGCUGUUUCUUUUUCCAAGUGGAAAUCAAGGUAAGAAGAAAGUUUGCUUUUCCAGAAAUAAAAGAAAGUUUGCAGGUUUUUUUUUUACCUUAAUUGACCCAAUACAAGAAAAUUUUGAAAAUUGAAAAACAAAGAGUGGAAAUGAUCACAAACAGAGAUUUGGGAAUUUGGAUGAAGAAACAACAAUGGCGAGUAGUUGGUUUAACUUUAAUGUUUUGUCCAUCCUUAGUUAUUUAGCGGAUGGCAAAUAAAAGACACUACUUUUAAUCCACCUCUCCGCCUAUGCCCUUCAAAAUUUUUAAUUUUAGUUACUCAAUUCUACUUUCGCAUUAAUCGUGGAUAACUUCCGUUUUUUCUUUCCCUCUAAGGUUCCAGGUCGAUGUUAGUUGAAAAUGGUAGUUGAAUGUCCAAAGUAGGUUAAAUGCUUUCUUCUUUUUUCUUUUCGGACGGCAUAAAAGGUUGAAGAUGAUGAUGUUUAUAUCUUUCUCCACUAACAUUUCACUUCUUUACUUACAUUAAUUUAUAAUUAAACCUAAUUAAUUUACUUAUUAGUUCAGCAUUAAUAUUUAAUUAGCUUAAUAUAAUGACGUUUCCCACUACCCUCAAUUUAUGAUUGAUUUAUUUGUCAUUUUAGUCUUUUGAAUAAUUAUCAUUUAAGUAGCUAAGUUAAGCUUUUUUUUUAAAUUAAAAAUCUACUAUCUCUAAACUUAAUUAAUUACAUUUUUCGCUAAAUUCCUUAAUUGAAUUUCAAUAUCCAAAUACAUGAAAUAAAUGAGAUAAAGGUGUAUAAUAUUCUCAUUUGCCAAGUUUCAAAAUUAUACUUGGUUGAUCUGUCUCUCCUUUUCCAAGAGUGCUUCGCCGAGAGUCCUAGUGGAGGCAGUCACUUCUGCAACUUGGGAUGGGGGAAAACGGUGGAGAUGAUAGAGAGCAGAGGGACGAGAUCUCACUCUUAACUGAAGAGCUUAUUCAAUUAUCUGUCAAACGUUCGAACCAACCCUGAUUUGCACAAUAUGGACAGAGAAGUUCUAUAAUCCGGAAAGUUUCAAGGCACAGAUGAAGAGUUUGUGGAAAACAAAAAAUAAGUUCGAGAUUCAAUCAGCAGGACAAAACCUAUUUUGAUAGCGUUUGAGGCGGAAGAGGAUUUAGAAUUGAUUAUGGAAGGUAGGCCAUGGUUAUUUCGGAAGAGUCUAAUCCUUUUCGACAGGAUUACUCAAUCGGUGGAAAGAUCUCAGAUUCGGCUCAACUCCUCACCGGUCUGGCUGAACGUAGGACCAUGCCUACCUGAAUUUGAUAAAAAAGACUUGCUGCAUGCCAUAGGUGUCACUUUUAGUGGGAUAAUCAGAUCUGAAAUCAAUGGAGAAUGGUGUCGUCUAAAAAUAAAUCUCGAUGUGCAGAAACCCCUUCGAAGGGGUAUUUUUGUCUCAGUGAAUAAUAAGAAUAAAUGGUGGAUUUCAUUUAAAUAUGAUAAACUGCCAACUUUUUGCUUCAGAUGUGGAAAGCUGUGGCACGGACUCCCAGGUUGUAACUCACUGAAUCCUGCAGAAAAAACAAAAAUUAAAGAAAAUCCCCCAUACACAAUGGCACUAAGAGCAGAAUCAAACUUACUUGGAAAGGAGUGUAUUCAAUUAAAUAACUCUUUAAACCAGAAUAGGGUGCAAUGUUUUUAUACAGGUGGCUCUGACCUAGAUUUGAUUGAAUAUGGAAAAGCUGAAGAAACAAAUAAUUGGUUGGGGAUGACGCAUGGAGAACUACUAGUGAAUGAAAACAAGGAGGAGAUGAAGAAGCAAGAAAAAGAAGAUUACGUUAUGAGCAAUGAGCGGGUGGUUGAUAAGAGGAGAAGUCAAGACAGUAAUCCAAAUUCAGUAAAGAAUUCAACCUGGAGAAGAGUCAAUCCAGCCCCAACAGUGGCAAAGCAGAAGGAUUGAAAACGGUAACAAGAAGAGGAAAGCUACUGAAGAAAUAGUAGACUUAUUAUAUAGAAGCUGAAUAUGGAGUUGCGACAAAAAGGCUAAAAAAAGAUAGUGAACAGGAACAAGGAGAAACGCUACUAGAAACGGUGGGAAACGAUAUGCAACAGAGUGAUACUAAUUUACUCAGGAUCGGUGGCUGCCAAGAGGCAAGCCGACCGAACGCAAUGAAAAUCAUUACUUGGGAUGUUCGUGGAUUGGGGAGUCCACGAACAGUUAGAAGGCUGCGAUAUUUUCUAAAGCAGCAAAACCCCCAAAUGGUCUUCUUAAUGGAGACAAAAUUAAGCAUGCAAUGUAUGGAGAAAGUUAGAAGAAGAUGUGGUUUUCAGAAUGGAAUCGAUGUUGAUGCAGAAGGUUCCCGAGGUGGUUUAUGCUUAGCAUGGAAAGAAGAAAUUACGGUUACAUUAAGAAGUUUUUCUAAGUCAUAUUGAUGCAAUGGUUAUGGAAGAAACUGACAAUGCAGAAUGGAGAUUCACAGGUUUCUAUGGCUCCCCUUAUGCCAAUCUGAAGAAUGAUUCGUGGAAUUUGCUACGUAAAUUGGGACAAGACCAGACACAUCCAUGGGUAGUGAGUGGGGACUUUAAUGAAAUCAUGUAUUCUUUAGAGAAAAAAGGAGGCUUACUAAGAGAUGAAAAGCGGAUGGAGGCAUUUAGAGAAACUCUUGAAGAAUGCAAAUUGGAAGAUCUAGGGUACAUAGGGCCUUGGUUCACAUGGGAAAUGGGAAAUAUGCCAAAAACAAAUGUUAAAGAGAGACUUGAUAGAGGAGUAGCCAAUGAUAAGUGGAGGAACCUAUCUCCAAUGGGUAACAUUCAUCACUUGUCCCAUUCAAUAUCUGAUCAUUGUCCUCUGCUGCUUAUUACAAAAUCAGAAAACGUUAAUUUUGGAAAGCCAAGUUUUAAGUUUGAGGCAAGAUGGACCAUGGAAGAGUCUCUCGAAGGAGAAAUUAAAGCAUCUUGGGAUUCAACUACAAAUACCGUACCGGAGAAACUGGUAAAACUACAGUCAGACUUAAAAAAAUGGGCAGGGGAAAUUAAAAAAGGACGAGAAGGACUGAAGAAAAGGCUUACAAAGAAACUGGAAAUGCUGAUGGAAAAGGAAAGUACCGAUGACAUAAUGGCAGAGAUCAUUGAUACAAAGAUGCACCUAAACCUCGAAAUUGAUAAAGACGAAAGAUAUUGGGAACAACGAGCAAGGGUAAAUUGGAUAAAAGCAGGGGACAAAAAUACAGCUUUCUUUCACAGGCACGCCACAUCUCGACGGAAGAAAAACACGAUAUCAAGGCUGGAACUUGUCGGAGGAGGAGAAGCGACGGAAGAAUGCAAGAUCAGUGAAGAAGCUACUCUUUUCUUCCAGAAGUUAUUUACAUCAAAAGGAACAGGUGAGCUAUCCUACCUCCUAACAGGCAUUGAAGGAAAAAUGACACCAGAAAUAAAUGCAGACUUAAUGGGGAAAUUUACGGAGGAGGAAGUGCAUCUUUCCUUGAAAGGAAUGGGGCCAACUAAAGCACCAGGACCUGACGGAUUCCCAGCACUUUUCUUUCAACAAUAUUGGCAUAUUGUAGGUAAAGAAGUCACCACCUUUUGUUUGGAAAUUUUAAACAGUGACAAAAUUUUAGGCCAUUCAAAUUUUACUAGUAUUGUUUUGAUCCCAAAAGCGCAGAAUCCCAAAAACAUAACAAGUUUCAGGCCUAUCAGUCCAUGUACUGUUAUUUACAAAAUUGUGGCAAAAGCAAUAGCCUAUAGACUUCAAGGGGUUAUUGGGCAGUGUAUUGAUCUGUCGCAGAGUGCUUUCAUCCCAGGAAGGUUAAUUUCUGAUAACAUGUUGCUUGCCUAUGAGAUCUUACACACUCUUAGACGAAAACGAACAGGCAAGAAAGGCUUUAUGGCAGUUAAACUUGAUAUGAGCAAAGCCUUUGAUAGGGUUGGGUGGAGUUUUUUUAAGGAAGUCAUGUUGAGAAUGGGUUUUACAAAAGAAUGGGUUGGUUUAAUUAUGAAAUGCAUUACUACAGCUUCUUUCGCAAUCAAUAUUAAUGGAAAAGAGGGAAGUCUUUCAAUCUUCUAGAGGACUACGACAAGGUGACCCACUUAGUCCUUUCCUUUUUCUACUAUGCAAUGAGGGGCUUUCGGCACUAAUGAGAUUAGCAUUGUAAGGACGGAUAAGAGGAGUCAAGGCAAGCAGGACAGGACCAGCGAUUUCACAUCUACUUUUGCUGAUGAUUGCAUUCUGUUCGGAGAAGCAACUAACAAGGGUGUAAGGGCGCUAAAAGAAAUCCUUAAGGAAUAUGAAGAAUGUUCGGGCCAAUGUGUCAAUUUUGAAAAAUGUUCAAUUUAUUUUAGCUCAAACACGUCAGCCAGAGAUAGAGAGGAAGUUUCAGUAAGCCUAGGUAUAAGAGGGUCAACAGAUAUGGAGAAGUAUUUGGGCCUUCCUAAUGUAGUUGGAAGGCGGAAAAAGGAGGCUUUCCAAUAUCUCAAAGAUAAAGUUAAUGCUAGAAUUAAAGGGUGGAGUACCAGACUAUUAUCACAAGGUGGCAAGGAAGUUUUCAUCAAAUCCAUCCUUCAGGCAAUUCCGACUUAUGCCAUGUCAUGCUUUCUUCUCCCUAAUUCUAUGUGACAAAUUGGAAAAGUUAUUCGGUACCUUUUGGUGGCAAAAGAAGCAAGGAAAAAGAGGAAUCCACUAGUGUAAAUGGCAAAAUAUGUGCAGAGCAAAAGAACAAGGGUGGAAUCCACUAGUGUAAAUGGCAAAAUGGCAAAAUAUCUCCUUAUUAGCUAAACAAGGCUGGCGAAUCCUAAAUAAUCCAAACUCGUUAGUUGCAAGGGUGCUAAAGACUAAAUAUUUUCCAGAUACGGAUUUCCUUAAUUCGCGUCUUGGGAAUAAUAGUUCUUUUACGUGGAAAAGCAUAUGGGCAACGAGAGGUGUUCUACUCGAUGGAAGCUGUUGGAAAGUAGGGAGGGGUACCGCAAUUUCGGUCAUUAAUGAUAGUUGGUUACCGGAUUAUCCAAAAUUAUCAUCUUAUUUUACCAAUUAUACCAGGUUAUCGCAUUUGCAGGAAUAUAAAGUUGCAGAUCUAAUUGAAGACAGAAACAAAGAAUGGAAAAAAGAACUAAUCGAAGCUACCUUUCCUGCGGAGAUAUCUGAGAAAAUCUUCUGUAUCCCACUUGCAAAAGAGCUUCAUGAUGAUUUCCUGGUCUGGCGGGGAGAGUCUUCAGGAGAAUUCACAGUAAGAAGUGCCUAUAAACUAUUACAGAGCUUCGAAAAUGACCCUAGUGCUUACGCUUUACAAAAUAAUUCUAGAAAUUUCUACAGAAACCUAUGGCUCCUUAAUCUACCUCUUAAGGUAAAAAUUUUAGUCUGGAAAAUAACUUGGAAUUAUAUCCCGACUCGAGUCAACUUGAACUGCAGAAGGCUAUUAAACAAUGUGACAUGCGUUGGGUGUGGUAAUGCAGCAGAGUCUGCAAAUCAUAUAUUCCGAGAAUGUCCUGUGACAAGAACAGUUUGGGAAGAAUUAUUAUUCCCAGAAUUAUUACAAGUUCAUCAUAUGGAUUUCGUACAAUGGCUUACCUGGGUUUUUGAACAGAAUUCCACCAAUCGGCGACGGAUCUUUUGUUGUGCUCUUUGGGCAAUAUGGGGAGAAAGGAAUAGGAGAGUGCAUGAAAAGACUAAUAGAUUUGGGAAGGAGACAGCAUAUUUUGUUAAGAGAUAUAUUAGUGAACUGAAUGAGAUUGGAGCAAAAACACCUCAGGUUAGACUAAGAGGCAGGAAAUGGAAGUACCCACCUGUCCAGUUUGUGAAGGUUAACUUCGAUGCAGCAUUUGAUGUAAACUCACAACAAUCAGCAGCGGGUAUAGUGGCCAGGGAUAGCGACGGAAACACACUCUUAUCAUGUACUGAGAUUCAUCAUCAUGUGGCAUCAGCCUUUGCCGCGGAAGCAAUAGCGUGUCGAACAGCAACUCAAAUAGGCAGGGACAUGCAAUGGUCAAACAUUAUUAUUGAAGGGGAUGCAUUAUCUAUUAUAAAGAAGUGCAAACUGAAAAGCCAUGAUAAAUCCAGAAUCGGAGCAUACAUCCAAGAUAUUCAUCAGCUAUUAAAAAAUUUUGGAAACUACUAUUUUGAGUAUAUUCCCAGAGAAGCUAACAACCUGGCACACAAACUAGCGACGGUGGCAUUAAAGGAAAAAAAAGAGCUUUACCUUCUUGGAAGAGUCCCGGACUACGCUGCGAAUCUGGAAGAAGCCGAAAGAAAGACAGGGGAAAUGUGUUGAGAAGAAAUGAACGGUUACAAGGAAAAAGAAGCUGUAUUGCAAAAUUCAAAGGAGUGGCAGACAAGGCUUCAUUGGAAAUCCGAAAACGUCUCUCUGAAGUAAUGAAUAGAAGAUUUUGAAAAGACGGAAAUGGAUUUUUUCUGAUUGGGCAAGAUAUGUUAGCAUUUAUUAGGUUCUGGAAGUUUUACAGACUGUUUUUUAUUCUUUUUCUUUAAUUUCCUUUUAAGAGUUGGCCCACAGUUUUGACUUGUCUUCGGGCCAGAACUUGCUUUAGUUUACCCUGGACUUUUUAUAUUUUUUCUUCAUUUUAAGUUAUAAAGCCCAAUCUGAAUUUGUUUCAAAAAAAAAUUAUACUUGGUCAAAAUUUGUGUCAAAAUUUAAAUGUAAACUUGAUCUAUCAAUAUUUCACAGCAUGUCUCGAGUAAUGGGUGUAACAUGCCGCCCGGUGAAAUCUUAGUAUCUGAAUAUUGUUUGAAUAAAUAAGAUAGGUAAUACGAUCUAGAAGGGUAUAGUGAUUAAAGCUAGAUUAUGAAUAAGAACUAUUUGAGUGCGCCUAUGGCACCUUGAGAUUGGCGAGCACUAGGUUAGCCCAUAACGAGUAAGAAAUAUAUCUGACAGAAACGAUUCACCCAAAAGCCUUUGAUUGGCGUAAAAAAGACGGGUGGAAUAUGUUAUAAGUAACGAGAAAAUAAACCGUGUGUCGAGAAGUCUAUGUCAACAAUAAGUGCACUUAGUAACGAUGGCCUUGAGCCAGUUAAGUUAUAAAGAAACAAUGGUUAAGUUUAACUGAAUAUGAGCUAAAAUAGUUAAGAACUAAAGGAAAGCAGUUGAUUAAUAUUCCUGGAACUGGUAAGAUUUGGAUAAAACCACCAAUUGAUUUAUGUGACGUGUGCCUAGUUCCAAUAUAGACUUGGGGUUAAGUUAAGGGCAUGAGAUAGGUUAAGAAGAGAUAUCUUCUCUCUCAUUGGUGGAGUAAGGCUAAGAGAAGAUGUAUGAACUCUGAAAAAGAUCUAAAGUCGACAAUUAGGCAAGUGAGAGGCAAGGUAAUGACGGGUGUAUGGGCAAGCCUUCGUAGAUGUAUGUUUGAUGAGCUUUCAAGUGAUGCUCGAAUGAUGAUAUGCUUGAAUGAGAAAGCAAUUUAUGCACCUGUGUAUUGAAUACCGUUAGUUGAACAAGGUCAUGACCUAAUAAUAAAUAUCAUUUACUAAGGAUUGAGGGCUUAUUUGAUCAGUUAAGUGGGAUUUUCCAAAAUUGAUGUAAGGUUAGGUUAUUAUCAGAAAAGGAUUAAAGGUGAUAGACAGCUUUUCAGUCAAGAUAUAGUCACUAUGAGUUUUUGGUGAUGUCAUUUGGGUUGACAAAUACACCAAUAAUAUUCAUGGACUUAAUUAAAUUCCAACCUUACUUGGAUCAAUUUGUUGUAGUCUCUAUUGAUGAUAUAUUGAUAUAUUCUAAGAGUAAGAGUGAUAAUGAAGAGCAUUUGAGAAUUGUGUUGAGAACCUUGCAUAACAGUUAGUUGUAUAUUAAGUUCAACAAAUGUGAGUUUUGGCUAGAAAAAGUGCAUUUGUUAAAUUUUAAAAAAUAAAAAUUCUAAAGAAUAUAUAAAACAUUUUAAAAAUUCUAAAAUAAUAAUUCUGGGGACAUAAAUAGGUAAAUUAAUGGUUCAUGUUUAUCAUACUAAAGUAUUUUAUUUUUUCAAUUAUUUUGAUUUGAAAGAGUUUCAAAUAUAUAUGCUCUAAAAUAGAAUUAGUUGUAUGAUUACAAGAUUUGAAUUUGAUAUGUUUAAUUUUUUAAUAUAACUCAAAUAAUUUUACUCGAUACGACUCAAAUUUCAUUUUACUUGAUUCGAUUUAAAAAAAUUCAAAUUAAGUUAAAAUAAUAAAAUAAGACUUAUCAACUUGAACUUUUUCCAUUCGAUUCUACUCUAUUCGAUCCAAGACUAAGAAAUCAAAAUUUUUGUUCUCGAAAAACCAGUAAUGGUGAUUAGAGCAGAACAAAUAUUUCCAUAUUUAAAGAACACCAUUAAUUUGAGUUUACUUUUCUUUGCGCUCCUCAAGUAAUUAAUUACGAAGAGUCUUCACCACUUUUGCUAGUUGGAUGGGUAUUGUUAAUGAAUUAUUUUUUAUUAUUUUUAUGAUGAAUAAUUAAUUAUCAAGUUUGCUCACCACUUUCGCUAGUGGGACUGGCAUUGUUGAUGAAUUACUUUUUACUAUUUUAACUUACCUGCUUCUUUUGACGAAUUACUAUUUUUAAAUUAAACAAAAUUAAGAGACAUGACAUACUAAGAGCACGCUACAUCAAUUUUUUUAACGCUGUUAACAGUUGGGACAAAGUGAUACAUAGUUAGAAACUUUAGGUGUCAAAUUAAUGCAAAAAAAAUUUUAAAUACUAAAGUGAUAAUUGAGUGAAACUUUAGGGGGCAAAUAAUUCGUUAACCCUUUUACAAAUAGGAUAAGUUGACCUAAAAAAUUUAACAAAAUUGAAAUUUAAAAAUUUUAAAAAUGAAGGGCAAAAUUUAAUUAAAUUAAAGUAUAAAAAUUAAAUAUACAAGUUGCACAUAAUACAAAAAUGGAUAAUAAAAUUUAAUUGCUUAAAUUAUAGAUAGAAUUUCAUCAAGUCUUAAGUUUUAAAUCUUGUGAGAGUUAUUUUAUUCAAUAAUAUCAUUAAUUAGUGGAAGACGAAGACAUUUUAUUUGGAGUUAUUGGUUUCACUUUUUUAUGUUUAUUUAUUUUAUUUUUAUUUUUAGAAUAAAACAAUUGUCGAAAGAAAAAUGGGUUUUGGUUAGAUUAUUUUAUUUAAUAAGAAAUUAUGGUAUUUAUUUAUAGUGCUAAACAUAAUUUAUCCCUUCAAAUCUUCAAUAGCUUUGCUAUCUAAAAUACUAUUAUGUUGAAUAGGCUUAACUCAUCCUUUGAUAUUUAAGUAUCACAAAUGAUAUAUAGAUUACUUUUUUUAUCUAAGUCUAUUCAAAAGAUGUCAUCAGGAAUGAAAUUUCAAAUGUCUUUGACAUCAACUAAAUAGUCAACAUUACUAUAAUAACUAGAGUUUACACUCUAAUCAUGAAUGUUUUUAUCCGUAUCAUUUUCAAUCGGGUCUUUUCUUACACUAGUAUUUUCAACCUUUGUUAGUCAAACAGUCAAUCAAACCGUUAAUCUAUUUAAAAAAAGACUUAACCCAUAAACUGGUACCUAGACUCUAUCAUUUUUUCCAUUUUGGUACCUAAACAAUUUGUAACAUCUCAAACCUGACCUAGACAUUAAGAUUGAAUUUGGAAGAUUACAUCGGCCACCGAAAUGACCUAGUACGAUUGGAGUUUAUAAAACGGUUGUUUAUUAUUGAGGAAAACUUAGCAUGUUAUCUUUGUUUUACUGAAAGUUAUAAUUUUCCCAAAAGGAUGGAAUUUAAAGUUUACUUAGUAAAAGUCGAUUCUCGAUUUUUAUAUGUUUUUCAAAUCUCAUUUACAUAAUAAUGUAGCGAAAAAAGUGAUUUCAACUUGAGUUUAAUGAAAACUAGAUUUGUAUGCAUGAUUAAUUAAUAAACCAUAUUUUAAUAACCUAAAUCAAAAUAAAAUAUCAUCCAUGCUGAGCAAUCCCAAAGCCUAAGUCCCAUGCCACAGUUUAAAUAAAAUAUUACAAUCUUUGUAUAGAAAAAAUUGCGAAAAUGAUCUAAAAUAAUAAAAUAAUAAAAUAUGAAAUAAACAAUCUGUGGCAAUAAUCCUAGUGGCAUUCAUACCUAAUCUAAAUGAAUUUCAAGAAUGAUCAUACAAUAGCCCUAGUGGCACUCAUACCUAAUCUAAAUGACAUGCUUCCAAUAUAUGCAUGGGAUGCUAUGACAAUUUUAUAAUAUUCACAUUCUUUCACAAGAAUCAAUCAAUCAUAAAAAAAAUUUUUGAUUCUCUAGAGUUUUUCUUUUAAGGGAAAAACUGAAGAAGUGAAUGUGAACCGUGCACUAGAAACAGUCCUAGGAAAGGGAGGUGAGUCAAAUUUGACCACUUAAAAACAAGCCUUUCCUAGCCAAAGCCAGUCCUAAACAUGCACAUUCUCAUUACCAUACUUCUCACAGUAAUCAAAUAACCUAAAGAAGUUAAUAGAAUAAUACAACACAUGUAUUUUCUCAUUACCACACUUCUUAUUUUUUAAUCGAUCAAUUGUGGAUCAUCUCAUAUAUAUAUCACAAUUAUAACAUUAAAUAGAUAUAUAAGAUGAUAGGUAAUUAAAAUAAAAUUGCCAACCAAGGUUUCCAUGGUUCUAUUUAUAGAAAAUAAACGAAAAAAAUAAAAUUACACAGUUUUUAGUUUUUCGCCACAAGGUAUUCCUCGGGUCUUCAACUGCCAUCAGUCCAUAUUCUCCUCGUCAUGGACACCUUUUUGGAAAAAAAUACAUUUAAGUCUUAUGUCCGUUUUCGGAUCACAAGAAUUCUAUGAAUUUUAAAAAAUAACCCUACACGGAAAUGAUAGUCCACGGUCUAUUUUCUAAGAACCACAACCUCGAUAAAAAAAUUUAUAACAAAUAUAUAAUAUCGCAUUCAUUCUCAUAUAUAACUCAAUAUAUGCAUAAGAUCUAAAGAAUGCUACUCUCUAUGUAAUCAAGUCAUUUAAGAAGAAGUGAAAUUUAUUUUGAUUAUCUGUUUAUACUUAUAGAUAGAGUACAACCUGGCUCUGUUUAUAUAAUAGACAUAUAUAUCAUUCACAAUCUAGGCAAUUAUAUAUAACAUUAAUUCAGCCAAUCAUGUCAUGGAUUCUAGCAUUUUCAAUAUUAUUAGGGACUUAAUUGUAUAAAAAUAAAACACUAAAAAGUAGUUUGAAAACUAUUCAGUGACAAACCUGAACAAAUCAAAAAAUUCUAGGUAAACUUGUAAAAUAGGGGCUCAAGGCCGUGUGCAAUGCCUUAAGCCAUGCGAAGGGUUUACACGACCGUGUGACAGACUAUGAAAAUGUGGAUCAUGCAAAAUCAAGGUACAAGGGAGACACAGCUGUGUGGNNNNNNNNNNNNNNNNNNNNNNNNNNNNNNNNNNNNNNNNNNNNNNNNNNNNNNNNNNNNNNNNNNNNNNNNNNNNNNNNNNNNNNNNNNNNNNNNNNNNNNNNNNNNNNNNNNNNNNNNNNNNNNNNNNNNNNNNNNNNNNNNNNNNNNNNNNNNNNNNNNNNNNNNNNNNNNNNNNNNNNNNNNNNNNNNNNNNNNNNNNNNNNNNNNNNNNNNNNNNNNNNNNNNNNNNNNNNNNNNNNNNNNNNNNNNNNNNNNNNNNNNNNNNNNNNNNNNNNNNNNNNNNNNNNNNNNNNNNNNNNNNNNNNNNNNNNNNNNNNNNNNNNNNNNNNNNNNNNNNNNNNNNNNNNNNNNNNNNNNNNNNNNNNNNNNNNNNNNNNNNNNNNNNNNNNNNNNNNNNNNNNNNNNNNNNNNNNNNNNNNNNNNNNNNNNNNNNNNNNNNNNNNNNNNNNNNNNNNNNNNNNNNNNNNNNNNNNNNNNNNNNNNNNNNNNNNNNNNNNUAUUGAUGUUGGUACUGCUUGGUAUCCAUUUAAUAUUAUGCAUAUAAUGAUGGAAAACAUAAUAAACAUACCCACUUACCCCUUCAAAAUGAAGUACUGAUUCCAAGAAUUUGAGUGUGAAAAAAAAAGCAAAUCCAAACAGUCUAUUUUGCUCUGAUUUAGUUCAAGAAAAACAUAAAAAUAUAAUAUUAGAUGAAGAAAUAUAUAACAAAUUUAUAUAUAAAAAAAUAAAAAAUAAAGAAAUUAAGCAUACAUAAAUACAUUUACCUCACUUGGGAACUUCAAAAUCAAACUAGACUAGGUGCUGAGAAGAUCCUUGCUACUUCAAGACGAUCAAAUGGGAUUUGAAGGGAUAUUUUCUUGGUUUUUGGGAGCAAAAGAAAGUAAGCAAAACUGAAGAAGAAAAAAGAAAAAAACUUGAAGGUCUUUUCUUCUUUUUAAGGGAAAGGAAAUAAAUAAAAAUAAAAAUCAAGGUUGCACUAAAAUGUUAAGAAAAGUUUUAAGACAACUGGGUUCAAAGGAUUUGUGUUAUGAGAUUACCUCGAUAUGGGGAGCUAAAUUAUUGAUGUUGGCACUGAUUGGUUUGGUAAUGGCCCCAUCCAUUUAUUUUGCAAUUAUGAUAGGAGACGACUUAGAAAAAGAUGAGUCUUUGGGUCCUAUUUUCACACUUGAUAAUUAGCACAUCAACCACCCCUAAAUUAUGACCAUUAUUUUAAAUCUAUUUUCAAACUUCAAAUUCAUCUACUAAACAAUUGAUGUUAUAUUAAUCAAAUUAUUUUGUUGUUAAAAUCAAUAAAUGAUACGUUAAAUUUUAUAUAGCUAAUUUUAAAAUAAAAAUUUAAAGAAACUAAAAUUAAAUAAAACUGAAUUUUUUAAAAAAUGAACAAUAAAAAUUUUGUAAAAACUUCAAAACCAAGUUUUUUAAAAUUAACUAUUUUUACAAUUUUUUUUAAAUUUUCAUACUUCUGUAUCUGAUUGUUUUUUUACAAUAUGGUAUGUUUUAAAGUUUUGAUUAGAAUGGCAUGUACUUAGGAAAAAUAUUAGGUAUGUUCCAAGUAUUAGUUUUUUAUGUUCAAUUAUAUUAGUAAUUAGCCAAGUAUUAAUUUGGCACCAAAUGUAAUAUUCUUAUAUCAGGUUCCUUAAGUCGAACAUGGUAUAGGGGUGUUACAUUUAGAAUUUUCUGCCAUUUUUGAUUCUCCAUUGAUGUCCAUUUCUCCUUCUCCUGUUGUCGCACAUUGAAGUUUUUGUUGCCCUCAUAAUUUCUGCAUUGCUGCCCCAUCUAAGUCUCAUCUUGUCAUCAUUAUAUCUCACCCCUUGACUGAACCCUCUUAGCUUGGUUAGUGAGCAUUCAUUAUUGUUAAUCGACUAUUAACGCAGAUCUUCAAACCGGUGUAGCGUUAAGAAGGAAUCGAGACGAAUCCGAGUUGUAGUGGUGCUCCGGUCAAUUGUUAAUAUUCUAUGGAUUGUAAUUGAGGUGUGAGAUUCAAAUCAAUUGUGAGUGGUGUAUGCAUGUGUACUAUUUUGCAUGUUGGCCGAAUAACGUUGUUUUACCAAAUACUUAUCGAUCAACUUCCAAUUAGCUGCUACUGGUUCCUUUUGUUACUGACUUGCUAUUUAAUUUGCUUCAAUUUUGUUGCUUAACCUCGUACGAUCAAAUGGGAUUUGAAGGGAUAUUUUCUUGGUUUUUGGGAGCAAAAGAAAGUAAGCAAAACUGAAGAAGAAAAAAGAAAAAAACUUGAAGGUCUUUUCUUCUUUUUAAGGGAAAGGAAAUAAAUAAAAAUAAAAAUCAAGGUUGCACUAAAAUGUUAAGAAAAGUUUUAAGACAACUGGGUUCAAAGGAUUUGUGUUAUGAGAUUACCUCGAUAUGGGGAGCUAAA
RNAcentral lists this long non-coding RNA (76650 nucleotides) under Gossypium barbadense (sea-island cotton). Its description in RNAcentral is "long non-coding RNA (GBAR_LNC016764)". The stretch from base 53979 to 54123 matches the Rfam family "MIR7502 microRNA precursor family". Lineage: Eukaryota; Viridiplantae; Streptophyta; Magnoliopsida; Malvales; Malvaceae. The record is from RNAcentral.